ACCACUCCCCGACUCGCCUAUAAAUUGUAUCCAUGUCUCGAGCCGAUCACAACACCAAAACAUAAUCACUCACAAUGGCCACCACCAGCAAGCAGGCUCUAGCUCUCGCCGCUCUCUUGAUCCUGCUCACUGGCACCCACCUCAUUGCCGCCGCAAGAGCCCCGGUCGCUGUAACCGGCAUUGGCGUUGGAGGAGGUGGCUACGGCGGUGGUGGAGGUGGAGGAGAAGGCGGUGGAAGCGCCGGUCAUGGUUAUGGCUACGGUUCCGGCUAUGGAGCCGGUUACGGCUAUGGCGGCAGCACUGGUGGUGGUGGCGGCAGUGGCCAUGGUGGUGGUGGUGGUGGAGGUAGUGGUGGCAUGGGCUCAGGGUACGGCUCCGGUUAUGGCAGUGGUUAUGGCUCGGGUUACGGUGCUGGCGGUCAAGGUGGUGGGGGAGGUAGUGGAGGAGGAGGUGGCGGUGGAUCCGGCUAUGGCAGUGGCGGUGGCUAUGGGUCUGGGUCUGGGUAUGGAGAAGGCUAUGGGUCAGGCGGUGGCAUGAACGGUGGCGGUGGAGGAGGCGGCGGUGGAGGGGGAGGUGGAGGCGGCGGCAGUGGUGGUUUUGGGCAUGGAAGCGGCGGAGGCUAUGGUUAUGGCAGUGGAGGUGGAGGUGGCUAUGGCGGCGAGCAUGGCCACUGAGCAUCAUAUAUAAGCAGAAAUUAAGCUGGUAACAGAGAGGAAUAAAAAUGGUGACUACGCCUGUGUUGUGUAGAUCAGAUCAACCAUCCUUUACAUGCAUGCAUGUUAAUAUUUGUUGCCACCAUACUCAUACUGUAUUGAUAAGAUGGAAUAAAGCUUACUCAGUUUGAAUUCUGAUUUCUACUUUUCUAUCAUGCAUUGCAUACUAGUACCACUACAUACAAACACCAGAGAGCUAUACCGCAUACAAGAUGCAUGCAAGAUGACGAGCAUACCAUCCAUGUGUAAGUAGGUUACACGCCAUCUCCAAUCUUCAUCCAACUAAAUCCAUUUUGCUUCAAAAGAGUUGGAAUUCACUUUGCUCUUCCAUUCAGAAAACUUUAUCCACCAUCGCAGCCGGCUGCAAUCCUCUAAUUUCUGCAUCACGAAUUGCUUCUAAUGUCCAGGCGAUCAUAUUUUCCUGUGACCAAUUCUACAAACAUCCAGUAAAGAGAUUUCACAACUGAAUCAUCAACGGACAAAAGAUUUCAAAAGCAUAUGUAGAGUACCUGUCGCAUGCCCCAGCUAUUAAGUCAAAGACACCCCUGGCUGAAAUCUUAAUCCACACACCACUAACCUGCACAUGAAGGCAUUUUCGACAACCAGGAAAAAUAUACAAUGACAUAUCUUGACAACAAAAGGAAAGCUACAAGCAUCCAAUGCUCAGAAGGAACACAACACUCUUCCCAGGUUCUCACUGUAACUUAGUUUAGUAAUGCACAGGCAUGAUACAAAUGGCACAAACUCUACUAAAAUCAUAUAUCUUUUGAAUAAACCAUCUAUGCCGUACCACGUCCCAGCGCUACCAAGUAGAGUACAAACAGGAGCACCCUGUCUUAUAUGCUCAUCAGCAAUUGCAGUAGUGAAAGACUGUUGAACAAAAUUGUUAUCAGGUGAUCUCAUGGGUGUAUUAAGAUGAAGAAAAUCGAAAGAAAAAAGUUGAGGCGGUGAAACAGAUCAUAUCAGUCUUCCACAAUUCAUACCCAAAAAACUAAAUAAAAAAGGAUGGUUUCACAACUGAACCAUACCACUGGUUAAAUGCACUCAGCACAUGGACAACAAGUACCAACUUGCGCACUAAAAUAAAUACAAAGCGCCCAGGUUGCUAGUAACAAGAGAGUGACCACAGUGGCAAGUGAAAUGCUUUACUGGACAUACCAGUUUGGUACAAGUCCACCUGUGCAGCUUCUCAUUUCCAUAUACAGUUGUGGACAUCAUAAGAAGCCUUUUUUUUUUGCGUGGACAUCAUAAGAAGCCUCUCAUUUGAUUGUGCUCCAAAGAGAGAGCCUUCAAGUAGACAUUGAUUUCUACAAGGCCUGCAGAUGAAGAAUGCAGAUUAGUGAACUCAGCUGAUUUUGGGCCUAAGAGCUCAUUGUUGGAGAAAGUGGCGACACAAUUAAAAAAUACAGAAUAUAACAAAACCUUUACACAAAGGAAAGAAAGAAACAUAGCAGGGUAAAGAGGUAACUGCAUAUCUGUUUAUAAUUUAUUUUAGACAUAUUGUGCUAACAUCUUACCUGGCUGUCACUUGACGCCUGAGAAGUGUGACAGGCGACAAAGCCUGGGUCCUGAGAAGGUAACUGCAGGAACAAAAUUUCAAUGAUCAUUACACUGGCCAGAAAUGUACGUGCAAGUGUUCAAUCCAAAGUGGUCUUAAUACCAGAGUGAGCCCCAGACUUGCGCCACGGUGCAUCUCUUCAUAGUUGAGUGUCCCCAUGGCCAUGGGAUUUAAAAAGUCAGUCCCCUGGAUCAAAGAGGAGUAGAUAAAUAUUUGAUACAACAUGACCAAGAGAACGUAAAUUAUUUUAGGGAGGCACUUCAGAGAUCAUAAAUUCAUACCAUGUAAGGUAUAUAGGUUGGAGUUUGGCUACCCAUUUUGGACAAGUUAGGAGCAGCCUCCAAGCCCUGCGUGUUGCAAAUGUUAGAAUACUGGUUGCACUAAGAGGCACUAACAUUGAGAGUAUGAUAUGAAAUAAAUGCAAAAGGCUAGAAACUAAGAUUCUUAGGCCUGGCACACCUAAUUUUCAUCAAACACUUAACUAAAAAUUUAUGGUGUACACAUAAAUUUUACACUCACGUGAUGCCCGCGAUAGUUUCAUGAAACUUAAAAGUAAUAAUGCAAACUCUACUGUUGCAUGUCACUGCAAGAAAGCAGGAGGAAUUAUAAGAUGCAUGGCAUAAGUUUAUUCAACAGUUGCUCUGCUUGUAGUAUUUUUUAGAGAAUCCUAGGACAGCAGAUAACUUCAUAUAAUACGAUGCAUUUGGCCAAUAAAUGUUAUGCAUGAUGGAUCCCAAUUAGGCAAUUAGUUUAAUUAACAUAACAUUUCAAAUUUGCAUGGUUAAAAUGGAUACAGAUACCUCGACCUCAAUGAAGAAAAUAGCAAGGUUACCUGAAACAUAGCAUUUCCAGACUGGGCAGAACCAUCUGCCAAACCAUACUGCACUACUGCAGGUUCCUCAGAGUGCACUUUCUGCUUCUUUGUCAGACCCUUUUCAACGCAAUUUCUUGGAUGGUUUUUACUUUUCUGGCCUUUCUUCUUUACUACUGUUUUUGCUGCUGCCCUGCUUGAAAUGUCCACAACAUUUUCUGAUUCAGUGCCAUCCGUGAUAGAAGACAAGGCCAUCUUAAGAUUCUGAACAUCAGGCUGUAGUGUGACAGGUGCGCUGCUAAUGCUGGUUUGUUUCUGCAGGAUUUGCUCAACCUUGUCGCCAAGUUCUCCCCAAAAUUGGUCUAGUACUCUGCUGGACUCCUCACAUUCCGAUGCCCGGGCAACAAGCCUAACAUACUUGGGGCACAGGUGCUGGUAGCGAUUAGAAAUCUCCAAUGAUUCCUCUGCUUGAACGGCUUGCCCCAGAACCUCCGGUGAGGUCAAGCGCCUUGCAUAUUUGGUCCAGCGCUUCAUAAUGUAUCUAUCUGGUAUAUACUUUAUGUCCAUGACAUCUAGAAUCUUGAGAGCAUGGCUGCACAGGAAGCCAACCGUCUCAAACUUCCCGCACGAGCAUGUGACAGUCUGCUCCAUAGGGUUCCCAUAAACCGUGUAUCGCCGGUCCUCCUUCUCCACAAGCGAGACGACAUACUCACGACACGGGCUGCUUUCAUCGCGGCUCACGAUGUAAGCUGACUGGAACUCCUCAUAUUCUUCCUGGAAAAGCUGAAAGAUCACGCUGGUAUAGACAUCGGAAGCCUGUGUCAGAACGGGGGCUCUGAUUUUGAGGUAGGGCAUCAUCAGCCUUGAACCGUAUUCCAUCUCCAACUCUCUGUGCCGCCUAUCGCUGAUCACUUUCUGAAGAUGCCUCAAAAACAGAACAAUGUCCACCUCUGCUCUCAGAUGACCGCGCACCUCGGAAUUCAGGCGCUCGUUCAACCGUGUGCCUUCCAUCCCGGCCGAGAAGAUCCCUUUCGCGUAGGGCCUAGCCCACUUGUGUUUCUUCUCGAACAACCUCUGCAGCCACGCGUUGUCACGAAGCUCGUACUUGCUGACCAUAGCAUCCCACGCAGCGAGAAAUCCCGCCUCCUCGUCAUACUCUCCGUCGACGCACGCCUUGAACUCCUCGAUGAAAUUGGCAUCGCCUUUAGAAAGCUGACGUAUGUUCCCCUUUGCAACAUGCUUUAUGUGCCACGCGCAUAUGGCAUGAGCCGUCGUCGUGCCAGGCAUCGCCAAGGACAGGGCCUCUGCUAUCACCGUGUCCUGAUGCGAAAUGAAAGUCUUGGGUGCUCGCCCAGACAUGGCGUGCAGGAACGUCUGGAACAGCCACCGGAACGACUCGCAGGUCUCGUCGUACAUGAGUGCCAGCCCGAAGACGACAGGCUCGCCGAAGCUGUUGCAGCCGACGAACGAGGCGAGGUGGCGGAGGCUGAUGCUGUUCCUGGACACGACGUCGAAGGCGACGGCGUCGCCGAAGUGGGCGUAGUCGGCAACCAUCUUGGCGUCGACCCAGAAGACAUUCGCCACCUUGUCCUCGACGUCGAGCUGCACGGCGUGGUGGAACGCCGGGUCGGCCAGCGACUGCCGCUGGAGGUGGUUCAGCAGGGCGGCGGCCUCCCCGUACUUGAUCUCCCACUGCCGCCUGGUGCGCAGGGGGCCUUCUCCCUCGGCCCAUGCCGCCCUGGCUGUGGCACUGGCAUCGUCGUCAAUGAAAUCCGGUGGCGGAGCGGCAUUGGGCGGCGAUUGGAAGGGGCUGGGCGGGCCGCGGGGAGCUGCGAAGAGCGGGUGGUUGUGGCGCGGCUGGAAGCCGGAGACCUGGAACCUGCCGCCGGGCUUGGUGCGGCGGAGGGUGAGGUGCGCGUUGCAGCCGGUCCUGCCGUCCGGCGCGGGGAUGGCGGCGGCGGCGGCGCGGGAGAGCCUGGCCGCGGCGCGGGGGAGCCUGGCGGUGCCGGCGAUGGCGGCGGCGGGCUUGUGGUCCUUGAAGCCCUCGCGGGAGCAGGCGAACUUGCAGGAGGUGACCUCGCCGGAGGUCUUGCUGCGGUUGGUGUAGCGGCGGCGGACGUUGAAGCCGAGCUUGAAGGCGUAGAGGCGGUAGAGGUCGUACGCCUGCAGCUCCGUCUCGAACUCCAUGUCCAUCCGCGGCGUGCACUCCUCCGGCCGGGCCGAGGCCGCCGCGGCCGCAAUGGCCGCGCUGGUGGAGGCAUCGCCGGAGGGCGGGCUUUGGUGGUCCUCCGGGCGGGCGGACGCGGCGGUGCUGGUGGUCUGCGCGGGGGAGCUUCCGGAGAAGGCGGCCGAGGCAUUUGGUUCCGGUGGUGGCGGCGGGGGCGGCGGCGGCGCGGGGGUGGCGAUUGGGUAUUUAGGUUUUGGCGGGGAGGCGCGGUGAGUGGCUGGGCUCGAGGCUGGUGCUGGGGCGGAGGGGGGGAGGGGGUGAUGCGGUGGAGGAGCGGGGGCUGGGAGGUGGCCGGAGUCGGCCGGGGAGCUCAUCGCCGGCGCCGGCGCGGCGAGGGAAAGGGGAACGGAGAGGACGGGCGGCGGGGUGCGGUCUGUGUGAAUGGGAAGAGAAAAUACGCCUUCCCGGGAGGAAGACGUACCUGGCGAUCUGGUUGUUUGCUGGUUGUAAAUGCAUGUUUGCAUUGAGCUCUCAUUCCCCUCCCCUCUCUCCUUCUCCCCGGCUCGUCUUUGCCCCUCCUCCGGCGGCACUGCCGCCUGGAGCGAGGAGGGAAGGGGAGCUCGGGAUGUUCUUGCACAUAGUAAGUGUGGUACAAUUAGUUUGGGCCUUAGUGUUGAUUGUCGGCUUCAUACGUGCUGGUCUUUGGAUUUAUGACGUUGUGUGGCGAGAUGCCGUUGGGUGCUCAGCCAUGGUAGAGACAUGGGGAGGGGGAGGGAUCUGGUGGCAGCUAGUUCCAGAACAAGCUCACAGUGGUGAUGGCGCACGUCGAUGCUAGUCACGAUGGUGGUGGAGGGGGCGUGUGGGAAGAUUCAGCAGCCGCAUGUUUUAACGUUGCUUUGCCUUGCUGGAUCCUAGCUUCCGACGAGGGUGGAGUUGCUCCCUGAUCCCAAAAAAGUGAUCCUCGUCUUUUGCUGCGGUAUACAUGUGUUAUGCCAGCCAAAACUAGGAGAUGAUGCAGCGAGGGUCCUAAGCUUCAUCGGUGGGGUAUUUGGAAGGGCUACGGUACUGAUAGGUUGUCGGCCUUCUCCGAUGAGCCGUCAUUCCUUCUAGUCAAAAGGUGGCCAAGUUUAUUCCUUCCGGUCAUAUCAGUGCCAAAGGGCCAUAAUGUUGUUAUAGGGUGGAGCACAUGGCUUGUUGCGGUGGAGGUCUCGCUGGACCAAGCGGUCUUACGAAGUACUCCCGCCGUCCUAAAACGCUCUUAUAUUAUAGGACGGAGGGAGUAGUCUGGACCCAAGGGCGCUGACAAAAUUUGUUCUACUCGAGAGCGGUUUGGACCUAAUUGCUUUUAUUUUUCUCAAUUGCGGACCUCUUUGGAAUUUUUAGAAACCUUUGUGUUGUUUCUUUAUUUCAUAGUUUUUUGUUUGUGAGAUUUACUGCCACACCAUUUUGUUUUUUUUAAAUUUCCCACCCCUGUUCAGAAAAAAAAAUCAUAUUCUCAUGCAUUAUAAGUUUAUUCAAAAAAUAUUGGCGAUUUAAGCCCCUUUUCCUUUUUGCAACACAGAAAAUCAGAACAAGAUAAGAGAAAGAACAGGGCAUGAUAUCAUGAAAUUGUGGUGUGGGAAGACAGUGCAUAUAGGAAUUCCAAAAGAUGAAAUUAAAUCCCCCAUUUUUUGAAAAAAUAAAUCAUCUAAAGUAAGUUGCAAAUUCAAUCGAACCAACAACAAAAAAAGAUCAAGGAGGGCAAGGCAACAUUCAGGGGAGAUAAGAUUCUAGUAUCAAACACCUUGGCUUUGUUGAAAAUCCCAAAUCCCAAAUCAUCCAUCCAUCCAUCCAUCGUCCAGGCAGCAAACACAUGCAAGAUCCCAAUGUAAUGUUAAUGUUAACAAGCAAAAUUGGUCAAGCAGCAUUGAUCAGCAUCGUCCAUCCAUUUACCUGACUCAGGUUACAUACGGUACAGUACAGGCGACCAGCUGCUUCAGCAAACGAAACUCACGCAUCCUUUCCCCCACACACCCAAAGAACCUGAGCACAGCAAAACGCUACCUGUCGCGAGUCCCGGGUAUGAACUCCCCCUUGCCUGAGAUGUCGAUCCAUGCUCCGCUCACCUCAACUCCAAACAAAAUCUCAAUGAUCAGCCAAAAUAUCCAAUGCCUUGCACAUAUGUACAGGUUUGAUAAGAAGAGGAAAGCCAAAAAAAUAAAAAAAAUUAAAAGACCUCAGCACCAAUUAAACCACCAUUCAGGAAUAAUACUUACUGCACCAUGCACGCAUGUUCCUUCCUUCCUAGUGCACAUGCCAACGACUUUUAACAGGCCUCACAUCUCAUGAUGACCCAAACAAACCCCACCCAUCAUAUAUAUGACUAACAAACUAGAGAACCUUCUGCCUGCCAAUUAUAUUGGUGCAAGCUUACAUAGAAGACCCACAUGCAUGGUGCCAUAUACAGUGUUCACGAGUAAGGAACACUACUACUACCCUCUUCUUGCUGCAAGUGACUUGCUUUACUUAAGCACCGCAUAUAUAUAGGACGACAGUAACCCAAACAAAACCAUCUUUCCUUAACACAACUCAUCUAGUAGCUAGGACGUACGCAACACCUCUAGAGAGACAAGUUGGUCCAAAAACAAGAUUUCCGGGCACUGUACAGAUACUUCAUUCAUGUUAGACACUUAACCAGAGCAGAGGGCAAUGAGCAGCGCAAGUAGAAAAACAAAGUUUUGCUUGACUGUUUGUGAUGAUGAAUAAGAAUACCUUGCUGAUCUCAUUUAUAAUCCUUCCACCGCGACCAAUAACAGCACCCAUAUGCUCAUCAGCAACAGCAAUCGUGACAGAUUCUUCUUGGGCAUCCUUGUUGACAGGUGAUCUCAUUGGAGUUUUUGGCUGAAAAAAAUCAAGAGAAAAAAGUUGAGAUUGCGCAAAGGCCCAGACCAUUUGGUUAACUGGACAUAAACAGUAAAUAAUGUUCUUCACAAAUAAUUUUGCAUCCAGUAUGCAAAGAACAGUAAGAGAUAUUUCAAACUUAUUUACCAAAGGAUGCAUGAAAGACACCUUUAUGUUAGGCUUAGCACCACUAGCAAUAAUUUCAGUCAGGGAGCCAAUGUUCUGUAAUUUACCAAGUUUCUUGACAUGAAACUCCUACAGAAAGUACAGAAAAGAAACCUUUCAUAGUGAAUGCAAGUAAAUUUCGAUGAACAGAUCAUACGUACUGCUAGUUGGUACAUAUAAUUUAUACAUUAUAUGACAUUGCAGUCAGUUCUUGAAAAAGAAACUGUCCAGCUUGUGGAAGGAUGGGGUGAGAAUGAACCAACAAGGAACAGUUGAUCGAUGAGAGCCAAAGAUAAGUUGAAAUGCAUUAUGAUUUAUGAAUGUUGAGGAAUCUCUUCUAUUCCAGAUACUGAACUUGACAAUGAUGAUGAUGCUUGCAAGGGGGCCCGUUUAGUUUAGUUUCUUGAUCAUAUCAAAUAUAGGUGCUGUUUGGUUCUCUUAUUAUAAAUUGCCCACAUGGGCAAAACACACACGCACAGUUCAUUAAUCAGAGAUGCAGCAAGCGUAGCAUGAUCGGCGGUGCGCUAAGCCGACGGAUGCACAUGAAACUAAAAGACGAAGAGAAGGGGGGGAAACAUAUAUACUUGAUAACAGAUCCUCCUUUGCCGAUGAGCAUGCCGCAGCAGGGCUGAGGCACCACCAGCACUACUGUGGCCUCAGAGUCGGACACCUGGUCACCCUGCGAGAACCAAUGAUCAACUUGAGAGGAUGAAAUCACCUGAUCUGAUCCAUGGCAUCCAUGACCUGGCUGAGCAGGCCGUAGACGAGCAUGACCCUGCGGUCGGUGCCGGGGAGGAGCUGGUCGUGGCGGGAGAGCCUGACCCGGGCCCCGGAGCGUGCCUCGACAGUGGAGCCGCCCGCCCCGAUGAUGAGCCCGGCCUGGGUGUGGGUGACGAGGAACCUCGCGUGCGUCCGCUUGUUCACCCUUGCGAGAUCAUCAUCAUGUGGUUCCCAGCCGCGCGUGUGUUCAUCGUCAGAAGGAGAGCAAUCGGAGUGGCAAAUGGAGUCUGUCGAACCACGCGCAAAACAGGUGUGAUGAGCGGGGAAUGCGGGUGGGUACCUUGGUGACCGUGGGAGGACGGAUCCACGGCGCGGGGGCGGUGAGGGUGAGCCCCGCCUCCGCGAGCGACAGCAGGGACACGGCGCGCGUCAGGUCGUCGCUGCCGCCGCCGUCUUCUGGGUCCAGGGCGGGCGUGCCCGGUGGAGAGGAGAGGGCGACUGGCAAAUCGAAAUGCGUGAAUCGAACUGGAUCGGAACCGAUGCCGCCUGCGGUUGGGGCUUGGGAGCGGAGGGGGCGAGGAGCAGGACGGGUACCUUGGUCGUCGGAGACGGUGGAGUCCGGCGGCGACGGCGAGGGUUCCAUGGCGGCCUUCCCGACGACCUCCACGCGCGUGGGCGGCUUGUCGCUGCCGCCGUCGCCGUCGUCUGGGUCCGUGACGGGUGAAGGUGAGCGGCCGUCGUCGGCGGCGGGAUCCAUGGCGGCGCGGAGAGGGGGACGGAAAGGAAAUGGGGGUUGACUCCUGUUGACUGUUUCGUGGCUUCCCUUUUUUCUUCUUUUUUUAUUCUUGUUUAUUAUUUAUUUAUUUAUGCAUUAAUUAUCCAUUAAAUACCAAAUUGAUUUUUCGGGGACAACAUGCUUACUUAAGUUCAGAUUCAAGUCUUUAACCUUUUAAAGACUUGGAUCUGAACUAACAAUGAAAGGACAACCUAUAUGCACAACUAAUAAUGAAGAGAAGGAAUUAAGCUGUUGAAAAUUCAGAUUAGGCAGAUGCUUUGCAAUAUAUAUGCAUUAUUACCUGAUUCCAAGCUGUAAACAGAGCAUCAGGUCAUAGCUUCUGUGCCCUUUGAUUAUCAUCUCCCCAGGCCUUUUGACAUCCUUGGCCGCCCUGCUAUGUCGACGGCUCAGUUUCUUGGAUGAAUCCAGGGCAGGCAGCUCUUGUUUAGAAUGACCUCGCUGAUCAGAAUGCCUUGCGCGUACUCCCUUUCGAGAAACCGGCCAUGUCUUCAUCACAACCCUGUUUUUGUGUUUCAGAAAAUGCACCACUUGGCUCACCGCCGAUGAUCUUCUCGAUGGCCACUCCGAUGCUCCAGCGCCUCUGCAGAGACAGCUUCUUUAUCGGAGGCCUCUCGAAGCUCAAGUUUCUCAAGGACAACUUGAAAAUCAGACCCAUAAUCUUCAGCCAUAUACGUUAGUUGGGGGCCACCGGAGCCUGGCCGCCAUGGAUGACCGGAGCCGCGUCGGUUGCUGCCGACUGGAGGACGAUCAUGUUCUCCUCUGGGUUCGCGUCCACCGGAGCCGCGUCGGCUGCUGCCGGCUGGACGAUGAUCAUGUUCUCCUCUGGGUCCGCGUCAACCGGAGCCGCGUCGGCUGCUGCCGGCUGGACGAUGAUCAUGUUCUCCUCUGGGUCCGCGUCGACCGGAGCCGCGUCGGUUGUUGCACACCUUCACCUUGUCCUGGUGGACGCACCAGCACUAGACGGUGCCCGCAAGGACGGCAAGGAGGAACAGGCCACCGCCCAUGCCCAGCCCAAUGGAUUCGCCGUUAUGGAGCAGUGGCUUAUUCGGAGGGUGGACAGGGUGGUCCAUGGACCACCGUGUACAUCAGCCGAGUACUUCACUAUAUCUGAAAAAAAACAAUUGGCAGGCCGUAGCGCACGUCCAAUGCCUAAACCCAAAAUGUACGACUACGCGAUCUAAUAGCUAGCUUUGUUGUUCUUUCCUACUCUCUAGGUGUCGGCUUUCCCCAAGAAAUAUCGCCUUGUAUCUUUGAAACAAGUUUUCUUGUAUCCUAGAGGAUGAACUUGAUGACUCAAAUUCUCCAACCGACCACGCCGCGAUGGCGAACCGUAGCGUCCAACGAGGCAUAAGCUGGUGACGCAUGACACCGGAUCCGGCUUGCCUGCUCUCUCCCCAUGCUCCCAUCCGUGCUCCCACUUCAUCCUACGACUGUCUUUUUUCCUUUUUUCUUUCUAAUCUAAUCAUCUCCCCCCUGAUUUUAAGGGGAUGAGGUCGGGUCUUAUUUUGUUCCAAUCAAAUCAAGCCACGUACGCGGGAGCACGGAUGGGCACACGUCGGGGGAGCAUGCAAGUCUCGUCCCAUGACACCAGGUAGGCAUAGGGCGGAGGUGCGUGCCAGCGAGGCAGGAGCUAGAAACAAGCGCACCGGGCAGACCAAUCCACUGAGGCAGGACCUCCAACGACUUCACGUCUUUCCAGUUUAAAUUAUGACUUCCAUUUUAAGUUCAAAGUAUGAUUUUGCCUUCAAGGUUUGGCUGUGAUUACAAAUCGGAACUCAAAAUUGAUAAAUGGAGCCAACUAAUUAAUGAUGGUUAUGGGUUAAUUCGAAUUGGCAAUUGAUAAAUUAAAUAUUUUUAUUAUAGAAUUAUUACAAGAUUAAACUUAACAAUACGUUCUUUUGAUAAAUUCUAUGCUAGUAUGCAGUGUCGGAGCUAGACGAUAGGUCCGUUUGGAUCCUUCUUGUGCUCGCCAUGCCAAUAUUGUGAUAUGGUCGUGGCUACCCCUAGUACUGAUAUUGUUUCUGUUGAUUUGUUAGCUGCAUCAAGAAGUCUCGUUGAAGAAAAGGACGUGGUGCAUGCAAAUUCUGGAAGAGACCUCCCGCAUGCAAACUCAUACCAACAUGUAGCUUCGCAUGCCAGAUGGAAAAAUGAUAUUACUUAUUUUUGUGCUAGUGCAAUCGGAAGAUCAACCAAGCUCAUGUUUUGUUCAACGGCCUUGCAUGCGCAUGUGUAUUGGGAUGAAAGGAAUGAGAGUUGGUUCAAACGGAAGGACAUCAAGAGAAUAUUUAUCUUUCUGCUUUUACCAAGGAAAGAGAAAGACCAACCUUAUUUAUCCAAGACAUGUUAUGCGUGGGAUCUAUUCCAAUGUUUAUAUUGGCACGCCAAAUAAUUGCUGAAGGAUUCGACUGCCAGUCACUCACCAAAAAUAUCGGCUAAGAAACCAAUAGGGCAAGCUGUUUGGGGCUAAGGCGAAUCUAAAAAUUGGACGAGAUCUAAAGAGAGGCCAGUGUUGAAGUCAACGUCAAAUAUUUUGAUGGAUUUCUUGGGGCGCCGAACCAAACAAACCCGAUAUCUUCCCACGAAGGGCAAAAGACAAACCAUGGCCCUUGGGGGACACGGGAGGGCAAAGGCUAAUUUUUUUACCCAUGUAAGCCCUCUUUNNNNNNNNNNNNNNNNNNNNNNNNNNNNNNNNNNNNNNNNNNNNNNNNNNNNNNNNNNNNNNNNNNNNNNNNNNNNNNNNNNNNNNNNNNNNNNNNNNNNNNNNNNNNNNNNNNNNNNNNNNNNNNNNNNNNNNNNNNNNNNNNNNNNNNNNNNNNNNNNNNNNNNNNNNNNNNNNNNNNNNNNNNNNNNNNNNNNNNNNNNNNNNNNNNNNNNNNNNNNUGGUAUGUUGAAUUUGUUGCAGAACUUCGCGGAUGUGUUUCUUUUGUACAAUUAAAUAAAAGAAACAAAAGGGGCAACGCAUAGAAUUAAUUACUUUUCUUAUUGCCGAUUAUAUGGAAGUUCGAUGCUGGCACUUAUAUGCCGAUUACUCAAACAUAAUUAAUCUCUCCACAUCACAGUUACCCCAGUUGGCAGUCUUCGCACUUCACAUUUACCCAAUUACUCUAUCAGUUUCAUGAUGAGCGUCCCAAGGCCCGCCAACGCAAUGAGUCCGGUGAAAAUCAGACCGAUAAGCUUGAUCCAGUACUCACGCGCCAGUUGGGGGCCACCGGAGCCGGGCCGCCAUGGACGACCGGAGCCGCAUCGGCUGCUGCCGGCUGGAUGACGAUCAUGUUCUCCUCUGGCUCCGCGUUGAUCGGAGCCGCGUCGGCUGCUGCCGGUUGGACGACGAUCAUGUUCUCCUCUGGGUCCGCAUCAACCGGAGCCGCGUCGGCUACUGCCUUCGCCUUGUCCAGAUGGGGUUUGUUGGUCAUCUCAAUAUGGUAGAAAACCCAAACCACAUCCAUCCAUAAUGGAGCACUCACUCCUCAUGACUAGUUUUGUCAAUGCUGCUUUUUAACAAAAUACACACAUUGCUUUCGCUCCCAACCAUAUCAAACCACACACAUGAACAACAAAUAUAGCAAGCAGAGCACAUUUGUUACAUUUUUUCUUGCUGGGGAGAAGGAAGGAAAGAUGAAUGAAUUAUUGGGUGGGUGAGUUUUCCGGGAAGACGAUGUGGAUGAAGUUGAGGAAGCGCUCCGAGUAGAACCGGGGCUCGGCGACGGAUAUCGACUGGGGGUUAUACUUGACGGACUUGUAGGCGUGCUUGACCUUCUUCCUCAUGAUGUACUCCUGCAGGAUGUCGAUGAUCCCUUGAAAGGAUUGAGAAGAGGUGUCUAGGGGGGGGGGGGUGAUUAGACCCCUAACAAAGAAAAGUAGCAGUUUUUAAGUUCUUCAAGUUAAGGUGGAAUUUUAGCACAAGUUUAAACAUUUACAAUACAUUUUAAGCAAGCAUGGCAAGAGUAUAUGAGCAGCGGAAAGUAAAGCUUGCAAGUUGCAAGAAAGUAAAGGGAUGGGAUUGGAGUAUGCAAACGCAAUUGGAGACACGAAGAUUUUUGGCGUGGUUCCGAUAGGUGGUGCUAUCGUACGUCCAUGUUGGUGGAGACUUCAACCCACGAAGGGUAACGGUUGCGCGAUUCCACAGAGGGCUCCACCCACGAAGGGUCCACGAAGAAGCAACCUUGUCUAUGCCACCAUGGCCAUGGCCCACGAAGGACUUGCCUCAUUUGGGUAGAUCUUCACGAAAUAGGCGAUCUCCUUGCCCUUACAAACUCCUUGGUUCAACUCCACAAUCUUGACGGAGGCUUCCAAGUUACACCUAACAAAUCUAGGAGACACCACUCUCCAAAAGGUAAUAGAUGGUGUGUUGAUGAUGAACUUCUUGCUCUUGUGCUUCAAAUGAUAGUCUCCCCAACACUCAACUCUCUCUCACAGAUUUGGAUAUGGUGGAAAGAUAAUUUGAGUGGAAAACCACUUGGGGAAGGCUAGAGAUCAAGAUUCUUGUGGUUGGACUGGAAUAUCUUGGUCUCAACACAUGAGUAGGUGGUUCUCUCUCAGAAAAUGAAUGCUGGAAGUGUAGGCACGUUCAGAUGACUCUCUCCACGAAUGGAGGAUGGGUGGAGGGGUAUAUAUAGCCUCCACACAAAAUAUGACCGGUACACACAAUUUACCAAACUCGGUGGGACCGAAUAGUGAAACUCGGUCAGACCGAUUCAGUUCAAAAUGUGAACGUUAUGAUUUUCGGUGGGACCGACAUGAUCAACUUGGUGGGAUCGAUGUGCUAGGAUUAGGGUAAAACCUCAACUCGGUUUGACCGAUUACACACAAACUCGGUGAGACCGAUUUUGGUAAUGAGCAAACAAAGAGUUGGUCAAGCAAACUCGGUGGGACCGAGUGCAUAUCUCGAUGGGAUCGAAAUAAUUGCAACAGGUAAUCAGAGAGUUUGCAAGCCCAUCUCGGUGAGACUGAGAUCCCAUCGGUGAGACCGAACUGAUUAGGCAGUGGCUAUGUCAAGUGAACUCGUUGGCGCCGAGUUUGACUUUAUGUUUAGGACAUAUGUGGAAAUAAGAAAGUGGUUGAGGGCUUUGGAGCAUAUCUCUAAGCACUUUGAGCAAGCAAGCCAUUAAGCAACACUUCAUCCCUUUUAAUAGUAUUGUCUUUUCUAUGGACUCAAUGUGAUCUUGGACCACUAAAAUGAGAAUGUAGAGUCUUGAGCUUUUGCCAAUGUUUGUCCUUAGCAUCUUGAAGGGGUUCCGGAUCCUCUUGUCCAUGCCACGCCUUUAUUGAACUCUCUGAAAUAUACUAGAUGAAAACAUUAGUCUAACAAAAGAUAUGUUGACAUUAAUUAUCAAAAUCACCCAGAGAGCACUUGUGCUUUAAAUCUCCCCUUUUUGGUAAUUGAUGACAACAUAAUCAAAGUUUUAGAUAAAGAUAUGAAGAAUGACAUGUAAAGCUUUGGAAGGACAUGUAACAUGCAUAGGUUCCCCCUACAUGUAUGCAAUCAUGUGAAGAUAGAUUAUAAGAGCAUGUGAACGCAUAGACAUGUCAGAGCAAGCAAUGAGUUACAUGUAUCUUGACUAUAUGCAUCAGAGCAAAUGAUGUAGAUAUAGGAAAUAUACCUUCAUGUUCAUGAGUCCUUCUUGCAAACAGUAUGUACAUUAGCAAGAGAUCAUCAUGCACAUGAGUGUUAUGCAUAUACUUACCUUGUGGUCUUGAGCUGACUUUGGAGGAGAUGAACUUGAGAAAAUAGGGUUAGAUAACACAAGAACACCUACUAAACAAAGCAAGUUGAGAAAAUCACAAGAUUACCAAGAUCGGGAUGGCAUGCAGAGAGUGAGUACUUAGUACUCUAUUUGGAUAUGGACAUGUCCCCAAAGAAUAAAGAUAUGCAAUGAAUUCGAAGGUUUCAUUCCCUUAAAAGUCUUUCUCCCCUUGAAUCUUACAUUGGAUAAUGGGAGAAGAUAGGGCAAAAGAAAAUCAAAGCAAAAUCAAUCAUAUAACAAACAUACUAACAUGUCUUUUCCCUCUUGAAGACAUUUGACUUCUCUCCUCUAUGAAUAAUAAGCAUCUAGAGAAGCUUAAGGCGUGCAUUCUCUCUUAUGUGAUAAGUUUUGAUGCGCUCUCUCUCCCUCUUUGACAUCAAUUUCUAAAAAGGGAUCUUCUGAAUCAUGAGUCAAGUAGGCAUUUCACUGAAAGAAAUAAAAAUAAAUUGCCGCGCGGACUCACCUUCUUAGAGCCAGUGCUUGCCCUCCUCAUCGCUGCGCCGCUGCGAGCUAGUCCUCGGCGGGUUGCAGCGCCGGAGCUAGCGUAUAACUAUUGGGUUCAACUGAACCCAAUGAAUGUUGCCCCGUACUGUCUAUAUGUACGUGUUCAACUGCACUCAGUAAAAUAUCUUGACUGACCCCAUCACACCUCACGUGGAACAAAGAGCCCAAAAGGCAAAAGCCAACGAAUCCAUUCCCGUGCCCUAGCCCGGGAGUGCGGGCGUCACGUAAACGUUUCCUGAGAAAACGCAUGCGGCACGCCUCGUCGAAGAUUUUUUUCAUCGUUCUUCUGUUCCCUUCUCUGAUUCCUUAUCUCGCCUGUUCGUUUUGCUCGGCGCCCGCGGCAAGCAGCGGCUGCAGAUGGACAUCGGCAAUAACUGAAGCCCAAAAUUUGAGGUAAUUAGAUUGCAUUGCCGCAUCUCUUCUCUCUCGUGUGUAUGUUCAAUCUAGCCUAAAAGCCCAGUACGGUAGUGACUUUUUUGCCCUAGUUUUUUUAUUUGUUUUUCUCCAUGGACUUUGAUUGAUCUAGGCUAUGAAAAUAGUAUUUGUCCAAGAAAACUCGGCCACCAGAUUGACAUAAUUAUACAGGCACAUCAAGGUCACGCAUUAGACGUAGGUUAACUGCAUCAAAUAUCACAACAGUUAGUCUCCUGAAGCAUACUAUUCAUACGGAAAUUAACUUAGAUUAAUUGCCUUAUAAUCCGGCUGAUCAGAAGAGAAUUCAGAGUACACAGAAAAUCCAAAGAAGCAAGAUAAGAUUAGGUGCAUAUAUUUAACGAGAGGACCUUACAUGCCACCUUCUAAUUUUCAUUACCCGCAGAGGGAGACUGGAGAUAUUAACUCGACGGAGAUUGAAUCCAGAUUGAUUUGAUGAAUAUCGUCGUUGUGGUGACAAAGUGCAUAAAGCCUUCUGACCUUUUUAGAGAUUACAAUCAUGGACAACCUGGGAGGGAUGCAUUUGAAAUUAACGGUUGGAACAGGAAAAGCAGACUAGAUCGAUACUCAUGAGGGUAAUGAUAAUGUUAAUAGCUUUUAUAAUGUAGCAAUAGAAAGAUGUGAUGCUUUGAUGAUCAAGAUCCGUAAAUUCAGGUUGCUCUUGAUAAGCAAACUGAUCUUACAAAAAAGCAAAAUCGAAUCUGGCUUAAUGCUUCCAUUGAUUCGGUGAGAUACUUGUUGCAUCAAGGCUUAGCUUUCCGAGUCCAUGACGAACCAGAGGAGUCAUGAAGUGAACCCAAUGGCCAAAUUUUCUGGCUCCGCCCCUGGCGGGUUGAGUGGCUCAUCGCCGGGAGCGGCGCUCGGCAUCCAUCGCCAAGCAGCAUGAGUUGCCGUCACACAGCCUCACUGCUCCGGAUCUCACCACCGCUUUGGCACACGACCGUUUGGAGACGCCAAGGAUUCGGAUGCCUGCAGCUGGCACCGGAUCAAUGCCGAGGCACUGCGGGAGGGGCUCCUAGAAUCUGAGCAUGACGCCCGGUGGAAGGAGAGACAUCGGAGGUGCGCCGUCGCGAGCGCGCCGCCACAUCCCAGGGUAUAUACCGAGGCGGCUGAUGCGGCACCCGCGACUGGACCGACACCGACGACAACUCUGGCAGUGGGGACAGCGUUAGAGGCCCGACGUCCAAGAUCCGUGUCCACCCCGAUAGGUAUAUUUAGAGUUGGUUUUAGCUAAGUUUCAACUAAGUUCAAUGUACUACCUAAUUAAUAGUAUAUCCUAACAUAGUUAGAAUCGGAAUGCACCUAAGAUUUGAGUGCUUUUUGAGAAAAAAGCAGACUAUUACGCCCACAACGUUUGAACAUAUGAAAAUUCAAUCGUAUAGUUACUUUGAAAGGAAUUUCGCAAAACAGAGUUAUUUUGAAAGAAAAAAGUGGUACAUGUACUUCUUGUAGGCAUAAUGCCUGCUCAGCAAAAUGGCAACGAGGUUAGUCUUUCCAGGGGUGGGGGACGAGGUGGUAAUAUAAUUAACCCCCCUCCCCCACUGGUUCCGUAACAUAGUGCGUAUAGAUUUUUUUUAAGUCAAACUUCACAGGCUUUGACUAAGUUAUAAAGAAAACUAUUAAUAUCAAAAAUACGAAAUAUAGAAAAUAUGAAACUACAUCUUAUGAUGAAUCUGAUGAUAUAUUUUUGACAUUCUAAAUGUAAACAUUUUUUGCCUCAAACUUGAUCGAAGUUUAUGAGAUUUGAUUUAAAAAAAAACUAUAUACACUACGUACUAGUCAUCAAAUGUAGCAAGGUUCAAAAACUAAAAAUCCGUAAGUACCCGACCCGCAAAGAAGAUAAUCCAUAACUAGCCAGCCCAGCAGAGCCCAUAUAUAUAGUAUUGAAAUAAAGGGCCCAUGAGUAGUGGUAAAUAAAUCUAAAGUGCCCCGGCGAGGAUUAAUUAGUUUGUUGGUUGAUUGGUGCGAGUCGGAUACUGAACUGAUCAUCUCGAUUCCAUCUCAAAUCUACUCCUAAUCUAAUCUAUAUAUAUGCCCCCGGACCCGGAGAAGUUAGCUGAGUACUCUAGUAGAUAGAUUAGAUUAGGGCCCUUUUGAAUUGAUUGACCUUCAAAUUAAGCUGGCUUUACGUACAUAGCAGAUCGACAUCCAUGGCUGCCGGCGGCGUGCUGUACAAGAGGAACUCGCCGUCGUAUGAGUGCUAUCCAGAGUAACUUCCUUAACGGCCUCCUCCAUCCUCUCCAGAGUAAGUUCCUUAACGCAUUCUCUUUAUUAAUGGCCAAGCGUUCAAAUUGACCCGGCCCAAUUAUAUACAGUAUAUAUUAACCUACUAGGUUUGGGAGCACCCCAAGGAUGGUACAUUGUAUGAGACCGGUCAUUACGUGGGUGGUCUCUAUGGCCAUUUGUAGUACACAUAAUAAGUUGUUUAUGUGUAUAGGAAAUGUUAGUGGCAUUGUUGUGGUGAUGCGUGAUUUAAUAAACAUUGAUACUGCAUAUAUGUAAUCUAGCUUAUUUGGCUUUUGUGAACCCUCUUCUUCUUAAUUAUGAACAAGACUUAUAGGUAACAUAUACGUACAUGGGUCGAUCGAUAGUGGUCUAUCUUUUUCAGGCGCUCGGCUGAAAGAGGAUCCAUACAUGUACCGACGACCGCUAGCUAGCUUAAUCCCCAAUUGCAAAAAGGAAAAGAGAAGAAGAAGAAUGGCUAAAACUAAAAAUGCAUGCUGCACUAGCUAAAGUACCACAAAUCACAAGUGCAUGCCUAUCUCUCUUUCCAUUGAUCCUUCAAAUUUCCUUCCUUUCCUGCAUGCUACCUAGCUCACGUAUCAGAUAUCACAAAUGUACGUCUCUAUAUUGUUAGCAAAUACUAUCACAUAGUACUCCCCCGUCCCAUAAUAUAAGAUUAUUCUUUAGGUCUUAAAAACAAACCUUUAUCUCAUAGUCUCACCACCUUUCACAAGAUAAGGACUUGGACACUUACAGCUUGCUGCCUAGCUAGUCCUCGACGCACCUGGCCUGUUGUUUCACAUAGGUCGACAGAGAUCUCGUGCAUCAGCCACGGUGAGGGCUCUUGGUUGGUCCUCCGUGGUGAAGUCGGAGUCGAUUUCCUUGGGGAGAAGUGAUGACAAUGAAAAUUUCUCUCAAUAGAGUCCCUCUCUUUAAUAGUGUGCGGGUCUCUGUGGAUGGCCAGGUCGACUGAGGUGCUGUGUCUUGUGCGUGUGUUGUACCAAUUUGCGUUUGGUUUUCUGCUAAUAAAACAUGCAAUUAUCUCCUUAACUACUAUUAUUAAUAGAUGAUAGACUGAGGUUCCAAUUUCAAAUCGUAAGUACGACCACGACUCCAUGAGGUACGUACAAGUCGCUAGCUUGAGCAUCAGAAGUCACGUACACGCAUGCACGAUCACAAGCACGGAUCGUUCGUCUUUCUUCUUCUUUCUAGAUUGACUAGCUAACGUCCUCACUAGAUUGGUAUAUUUCUUCUGGAUCGCUUUCUUGCCUUUUGAGUUGCAUGCAACUGCGACUUAACAGUACGCUUUAUACACUUUAAUGCCAGCUAGCAUAUAAAUAGCCCAUCAAUCUUUUGACUAUGCACAAUGCAUACAUUUUUUUCUUGAAAAAGGAGGUUGAGACCCCUGGCCUCUGCAUAAAAAAUUAUGCACACAACCAUUUUAUUGAAUUAUUAUUCAACACUGCCUAACAAAAAGAAGGGCACACUAGUAGAAAAAGGGCCCAUUGUCCCGGUUGGCAAGGGCCUUUUGUCCCGGUUUUUGAACCGGGACUAAAGGGUCGUUACUAAUGCCCUAACCCUUUAGUCCCGGUUCUUACACGAACCGGGACAGAUGUGCCUCCACGUGGCCGCUGCGGCCAGCCCAGGCCGGGGGGCCUUUGGUCCCGGUUGGUGACACCAACCGGGACCAAUAGGCAUCCACGCGUCAGCAUCUGGCUGGAGCUGAGGUUUUUGUUUUUUUGAAAGGGCUUGAUUUAGGGGUUUUGGGGGUUAAUUUGGUUGUUAUUAGGUAGCUAUUAGAGAGAAGUGUCCUCUCUUAUAUCUCCGUGCUUGGUUUACCAACGCUACGUACUGCUAUGCCUAAACAUGGCUUAGAUUGAAGUGAAGGCAACAUGUGGAUGAUGAUGCAUGUUGCCUUCACUUCAAUCCAAUCCAUGUUCAUUUCACCCGCUGAUAUAUAAUAACUCUUCAUGCGCGCAUCAUGCAUCAUCAUAUAUAAUAACAAGUCCUACUAAUCAUCAUCAUACAACUUCUACUCGUUAUUAAUAACCAGUCAUACGAUCAUCAUCCUCAUAGUCAUCGAACCAACCCUACUUAAUUGUUCUUAGCACAUGAUCAUCAGUAUUAGGUAGGACCAAAAUACCCUCUUUAAGGUAAAAUAACAUAAAACAAUAUAGACCCUGACUCUCCAUUAUGGAGAAUGGAGAUCAUCCUGUCUCCAAUUCUUGCGCUUCGCUUCCUUUUGCUUCCAAGAACCUCCUUGCGACUGUCCAUACAUUUUUUCCAUUCUUUGAUUUGCAUGUCUCCACUUCUUUUAGAAAUCCGGUAUGGACAAUUGAGAUUCGUAGGAUGACCUGGUUGUAUGUUCAAAACAUCAAGCCUACCAUUCUGAUACAUCAAAUAAGGCACACAAUCCUCUGGGAUUAUCUGUUGAAAAACAUAGUAAUAACUUCAUAGUUAGCAAUGAUGUACUAGUUUUAGAAGUAUGCAAAAGAUGCACGGAUGUCGUAAUAGUAAGAAAUCUUACCAGAGUAUCUCCAUAGUAGUUACCGUAGUUCAACACGUGCACUAGUGGCACGUAUUGACCAUAAUGUGGAGGAGUUUUACAAUAGAUAUUGUAAUUCUCAAGAUCAGUACAAAAUUCGACCAGAUGAGUUUUCUCAUUAUAAGUUAACUCAGAGCCAUCGGUGUAGUAGGUUCUAUCUACCAUGUUCCGCACAUUGUUUGAAAAAUCAAAAUAAGCUGCCAAUGAAAAUAAGCUGUCAACUAUUUUGAAAUGAACAAUAUAAAUUAGCUAAUAACUAUGUUUGAGAAACUCACAUAGCGGUAGAAUUGGAGGCGUAUCAACAAGGACCCAAAUGUCCAUAUUGUCUUGCUCGAUGUCAGGAUCACCAAGAUCCAUGGUGACAAGCACACCCUCAUCAAAACCAUACAUCUUGCAAAAUGCUUCCCAAUUUUUGCAACCAAAAUGGGUUACGCUCUCAGAAUUAUACAGAUUUACUUCAAAAUCUAUAUCAUGAUGGGUCCUUAGGUGAAUUUUCUUUGUUUCCAUACUUUCAUGGUCUUCAAAACCCAUCCUCUCCAAGAUGUAGCGUCUUGCAUGGCAUGGGAUAAGCUAGCCGAAUUGUAAAAGAUGAAAAGUACACGUUGAAAUAGUUGAACCAUGCUUAAUUACGAAAAAAUAACACUUGUCGUCGUUGCGUACCGUUUCAACAUCGAAGGUCUCCUCCAACUUAAUACUGAAGCGCCAAUCUUCGUCCAGGUGAGGCCUGUCGCACUGACCUCGGUCGUCGUGGCACCAGUCGCACUCCCCCGGGAGACUUUCGUCGUCCGAGUACGACAUUUCCUAUGUUCAUAAUUCAAAUAUUAAACGUCUACAAUUAAAUAUAUGUACUAAAAAACCUAAGUUAGAUCAUUAUUAUUCAUCACGGGUUGACUAUCGGUUUGUCGAGUCUUUUCUUGAAAACUCUCAGCUCACGUGGUGUAUACAUUCGAACGUUGGUGAUGGUCGCUCCUCCAUUUGUCCCCGAGUGCAUUACACCAAAAUGUCUAGCACACGGGAACAAAGGAGAAGCGACCCCCACGACAACAGUCGGGAUUCUUCGUCCUCUCAUAUAUAUAUGGUGGAACUCUCCCUCACUGAUUCCUCUCUGACAUUUGCGACCGUCGGUGAUGGUAUGGUAGCUCCUCCUUUCGUUCUCGAGUGCAUUAAACCAAAUUGUCUAGCACACGGGAACGAAGGAGAAGCUACCCCCACGACAACAGUCGGGAUUCUUCGUCCUCUCAUAUAUGGUGGAGACUCGACAGACUUACAGUCAACCCGAAAUAUCGUUUAAUUAUCUUUCUAAAAGAGGAUUUGGCUAGUCUCACCUCGAUGUCGAAGGGGGCGGUGACGGGGACGACGGCGGGGAUGAUGGAGGGGCCGGGGGUCCUAGAUUUCUGCGAAAACAAAAGCCCUAUAAGCUAUCAACUAAUCAUAUGCAUACGCCUUGCAUAGUGCUCUCCAAUUUUAGCAUUCAAAGUAGGAGUAGUUUUCCACUUUGAGCAUUCAAUAAGCAAAAUCCAAUCACAAAAUAAAGUAGUAUUCAAAUUAGGAUGCAUUCAAUUAUAAGCAAAACUACAUCAUCUCCAUGCGUCCGUACAUCGUCGAAUAUUAUCACUAAUACACCUCGAAUACUAUUAUACAUAUAGCAUCGCUAGUAUAGCUAGAACAGUAGCGCCCGACGGGUAUCGGCGCGGGCGGUGGACACCCAAAGGGACAGAACCAUCACAUGAUCAUAGCUCCAGUGAGAUCCCUGGAGAACCUGCCAGGUAUAGUCGAACCUGCCCUCCAACGCAACCAUGUAGCGACGGACGUGCUGGUCCUCCUCGCUGACACGGUGACGUACCACCUCCGCGGUGUCCGGAAGCCUCGGCACCGUCACUGGGCCACGCGACCGCCACCAAACACGGAUCGGGUCAACGAUGGGCUGGCUCCUCACCAACCUACGCCCACCGGAAGGUAGCACCUCCCAAAACCAGCCCGGCGGAGCCCAGUCCCAGACAUGGCCCCUCUGAUCAAGCCGGCCUCCUCCGCCGAGUCGACGACGAGGAUGCGGGAUAGGCAUCGUCGACGUCGAUGCGGGAUUAAUUGCUUGAACUAAAAAAAAUAAACUAGUUCUAUUAAUUUUCUUGCUAAAAUAAAGUAGUUCAACUAGUUCAACUACUAAGCACUUACUAUAAAUAAAUAAAAUAAAGUAGUUCUUACUAAAAAUAAACUACUUCUAUAUAUAGUAAAAUAAAGUAGUUUUAUUAAAUCAACUAGUUCAACUACUAAUUAAGCACUUACUAUAAAUAAAAUAAAGUAGUACUUACUAAAAUAAACUACUUCUAUAGUAAAAUAAAGUAGUUUUAUUAAAUCAACUAGUUCAACUACUAAGCACUUACUAAAAAUAAACUUGUUUAACUAGUUCNNNNNNNNNNNNNNNNNNNNNNNNNNNNNNNNNNNNNNNNNNNNNNNNNNNNNNNNNNNNNNNNNNNNNNNNNNNNNNNNNNNNNNNNNNNNNNNNNNNNNNNNNNNNNNNNNNNNNNNNNNNNNNNNNNNNNNNNNNNNNNNNNNNNNNNNNNNNNNNNNNNNNNNNNNNNNNNNNNNNNNNNNNNNNNNNNNNNNNNNNNNNNNNNNNNNNNNNNNNNNNNNNNNNNNNNNNNNNNNNNNNNNNNNNNNNNNNNNNNNNNNNNNNNNNNNNNNNNNNNNNNNNNNNNNNNNNNNNNNNNNNNNNNNNNNNNNNNNNNNNNNNNNNNNNNNNNNNNNNNNNNNNNNNNNNNNNNNNNNNNNNNNNNNNNNNNNNNNNNNNNNNNNNNNNNNNNNNNNNNNNNNNNNNNNNGUGGGCUCCGGGGCGGGGCGACGGACGGCGACAGCGUCGGCGUGGGCUCCGGGGCGGGGCGACGGUGACGGCGUCCGGCAACCUGGCGGCGUCCUCUCCGCGCGCGUCGUCGGGGGCGAACUGCAAGAUGCAAACCAAAAUUUUCACAAGUGUGCCUUAUAUACAUGAAGCUUUAGUCCCGGUUCUUGUCACGGACCGGGACAAAUGCACCUCUUUUCAGCAGCCCAAAGGGCGGGAAGCAGAGGGCUUUGGUCCCGGUUGGUGGCACCAACUGGGACUAAAGGGUGGGCAUUGGUACCGGUUAGUGCCACGAACCGGGACCAAAGGUGGGCAUUGGCCCGGUUCGUGGCACCAACCGGGACCAAUGUCCCGCGCCUGCCAAAGCCGCGGUGCGAUGGGAUGUUUAGUCCUACCUCGUUAGCCGAGGAGCGGCAUGACCUGUUUAUAAGCCCUGCCCCGCUAUCUCCAUUGAACUCCUCUGAACUGCAGGCCUCUGGGCCUAAUCUUGCACUGCUAUGCCUGUGGGCCUGCUGGGCCUUCUGCGGGCCUGAAUCCUAGCCCAUGGAUGGGUUUCUAGUCGUAUUCAGGCCGUGGUGGCCCAGUAGGUGGCAUUUUUUAUUUUUUCCCAGUUAUUUUGUUUUCUUUUUUGCUUCGUUUAUUUUAUUUUGUUUCUACUUACAACAAAAUACUUAUUUAUUUUAUUUUAUUUUGUUUCUAAUUACUUAUUUAUUUUACUUUAUGAUAAUUCUUUUUGCUAUUAAAGUUUCUAUCAAAAAAAGUUCUUUAUGAAAAUUCUUUUUGCUUUUAAUGAUUUUGAACAGAAAAUACUUCGAUAAUUUUAGUUGCAUCAAUUUUAUAUGAUUUUAGUUUCAAUAAUACUAGAGGUUUCUUAUAAUGUUUUGAACAGAAAAUACUUUGUUAAUUUUAGUUUCGUAAAUUUUAUUAAAGUUUAUUUUAUUUUGUUUCUACUUAUAUAUUUCAAUAAUCCUGACUUUUUGUGUGUUCAAAAUGCACCAUUCAAAGCCACAUCAUCAUUUUUCAAUCCUUUCGGACUUCAUUUGUUAUUUAUCAUGCAUUUACUAAUUAUUUUGAGCUAUAAGACCCUAAAAUUGAAAAGCAUUUCAAAUGAACUCUGAAAAUUAACAAAAUGGUUGUCCCGGCAAAAGGUGGAUGCACUUCGUGAACAAAAUGGACAAUCUCUUUCGAAGUAUCAGGGUUUCGGACGAAAACUCAUCUGUUACAAAGGGAUUUCAUUUUCUUGAACUUAUUUGAACUCCUGACUUUUUUCCACAUUUAGGGCAUGGACAGCACAUAAAACCAUUCUGCUUGUUUGCCUCAGCCACUUCGAGAAAAUCAUGCACGCCCUUAAUGUACUCGGAGGUGUGUCUGUCACCGUACAUCCAUUGCCGGUUCAUCUGCGUGCAUUAUAUAUAAUUGAGUGUGUCAAAAACCAUUACAGAACAUCAUGAAUAGAUAAUUAAGUGACCAAAUUAAUAGAAGUUCAUCAUCACAUUAGAACCAAAGUACAUACAUAGUUCUCAUCUAACAACAUAUAUAUAGCUCUCCAGAGCAUCUAAUUAAUUAAACCAUACAUUGAAACUAUGUAAAACAUUUCAAUGCGAAAGCAAAUGCGAUCAUAAUCGCAACCAAGGUAACAAUUGAUCCAACGGCAUAAUGAUACCAAGCCUCGGUAUGAAUGGCAUAUUUUCUAAUCUUUCUAACCUUCAAGCGCAUUGCAUCCAUCUUGAUCUUGUGAUCAUCGACGACAUCCGCAACAUGCAACUCCAAUAUCAUCUUCUCCUCCUCAAUUUUUUUUAUUUUUUCCUUCAAGUAAUUGUUUUCUUCUUCAACUAAAUUUAACCUCUCGACAAUAGGGUCGCUUGGAAUUUUCGGUUCACAUACCUCCUAGAUAAAUAAAAUCUAUGUCACGUUGGUCGGCAUAAUUUUCAUAAACAAUAAAUGAACAAAUAGUUAUAAAGAUAAUAUAUACCACAUCCGAAUCAUAGACAGGACGAGGGCCGACGGGGGCGGAUACCAAAACCAUCGCACUAUGUAAUAAGAAGGAAUAAAAUAGUAAGAAAAUUAGACAAGUAUCUAUCUAAAGUAAGAAUUUUUUUCUUUCAGAAAGAAGAUAAGAACAAGAGGCUCACCACGGUGGUGCCGGCGACGAGAUCGGCGCGGGCGAUCGACGGCGGUGAAGACGGGAAUGGGACGUGACGGGCCGCUAAACCUAGACAAAUCUCGAGGAAAAUGGAGCUUUGAGGUCGAGUUUCGAGACGAGAAAGCUUAACUAGUGUGGCUCGGGCAUUUCAUCGAACACCUCAUGUGCAUAGGUGGUGAGGUAGAGCACCACAAAGCCCUCCCCUCGCCGGCCAGAGAAAAACAGAGCACUGGAGUGCUCUGCUCGCGGGCGAGGGGUAUAUAUAGGCACCUCAUUGGUCCCGGUUCGUGGUAUGAACCGGGACUAAAGGGCAGCCUGUUGUCCCGGUUCAAGCCACCAACCGGGACCAAUGGUGGUGGGCCAGGAGCGAGGCCCAUUGGUCCCGGUUCGUCCCACCAACCGGGACCAAAGGAGCCAGACGAACCGGGACCAAUGCCCCCACGAGGCCCGGCAGGCCCCUGGCCUCACGAACCGGGACCAGUGCCCCAUGGGUCCCGGUUCUGAACUGAACCGGGACUAAUGGGCUGACCCGGCCUGAACCAAAGCCCUCUUUUCUACUAGUAAAAUAGAAAAUAUCAUAGAAUACAUUUUGCAGUCAGAUGCUGAAAACUGGAAAUUGUCAACAGAAUGAGGAUAUAAGAAUAGGAAGUAAAAAUGGUAACUUCAUUAAUAAUCUUCAUUAUGUUCCAUUAUUUUGGUUUGUGGCUGCUCAGAUUAUAUGAGGAGAUCGCUGCAAAAGUAGUAUGUAGUCAGCGAACACCUAGAUGUUGGUUACCAUCAUUGUGGUGGCCACCAUAAGGUCUCCCGAAGAGGCGUGACUUCUCGAAGUACUGUCAUUUUUAUACCGAUUCGUGAAAUAGGAAACUGGUCUUCCUGUGAAGUUCAAUAAGGAUUUCUGUUCCUCACGAAGGACACCACUUGGAUUUCUGUUCCUCAGGUCUUGAGAUUGAUCAUGAACACAGUGAGGAAUUGGGCGAUUCUCUCCUCGGGAUCAGACAAGGAAAAACUGAUGUCCUUCGUGGGGUUCCUCACAAAGUACCUUCAGAGACCACAAGUGGCUGAGCAAACCAUGCCCUGCACUCGGACUGGAUCCUUGGGAAAAGCUAAAGAUCUCAGAAGAUGAUGAAGGGCUCCUGUCGCCAAAGAAGAGAGACAUCCACAAUGCUGUUCCAUCCAGCCCGGUGUCUACUCUUAUCGCUUGCUGGUCGCCGCAGGCAGACGCUGCUCCUCGUCUGAAGGCCAUGAAGGCAUCGCUGGAUCCUCCCUAUGUCCUUUGAAAGCUCUUCUUCUUAGCUCUUUAGGGAGACUUGGCCCCUGCUGGGUGGCCCUUGUAAUAAUGCUACUUCCUAGCUAGCUCCUUUUAUGCUUUUUCCUUUUUGAACUGCUCUUUAAGAGCUGCUGUAUCAGACUGGCUUGGUUUGUGUGGUUUCAUUCUGAGCAAUGGAACCGGGGAGGUGCUCCCUGUUCUUCUAAAAAAAAAUAAGGAUCAACGUAUUGUCUAUAAACAAUAAUAACUCAAUGGGAUAUAUUGGAUUCUGCAAAGUCCAUUAAUUUCAAAUUGGUAAAUGAAGUCAUGUGCUAUAGAGAGGGUUGGCUUGGGUUAUGUGCUAUCUCAAGAAAAGAAGCGAAACAUUACUGAAAAAUUAAGUAGAAGCAUGGCAGGUGGCAGCUCAGUGGUCACUAUUUGGUUCACCUUCUGCAGAGACUCAAUGCGUCUGCAGAAGGACCUUGCGACCCUGCUCCAAACAAUACUAGCUUCCCUGUUUUCUGCUCUCCGUUCUCUCCUCCUCUGGAUUUGUCAAUGUACUUUCUGCCAAGAAAACACGUGAGUCGCUCUUCAGCCGCGUGGCUACUCACCUUUUUUUCAUGAGGAGGGGGGUUUAGCGAUGUGCCAUCGGAACAUGUACUCCCUCCGUUUCUAAAUACAAGAGCUUUUAAAGAUUUCAAUACAGACUACAUACGAACGUAUAUAGACAUACUUUGGAGUGUAAAUUCACUCAUUUUGCUUCGUACAUAGUCUAUCUAUAUUAAAAUCUCUAAAAAGUCUUAUAUUUAGAAACAGAGGGAGUAUGUAUCUAUUAUUACUCCAUCUCAACAGGGGUUGCGAGGGUGCAACCCCUGUUCCUACCAGCUGUCUGGAAACUUGUAGUGCCGCCAAAGAUUCAUGUCUUCCUUUGGUUGUUCUCCCAAAAUAAGCUAAUGACGACAAGACCAUGGUGCGCAGCCCCGUGUCCACCCUCGCAAUCUGCUGGUCGCCCGAGGCGGCCUUGGCACCACCACUCAAGCUCAGGAGAGGAGGAAGCGAGAUCGUGAUGUGAUUUCGUGCGAGUGCGUUUGUGUACCUGGUCUAGCAGGCUGGUGUUUUUUAGCUUCCUGGUGUUUUCGUUCUGUCCUUUGGCUCCUUGUUGAGCAGGGCUGUAAUAACUAUUAGGUUUUGAAUCUCUGAACUUUAUAGCUCUGUAAAGAGUAAGACUCUGUAUGGUGAUAAUGGAACCGGGGAGAGGCCUCCCUGUUGAUCUAAAAAAAGUUAUUACUCCAUCUCCAGCUUCUAUAAUUCUGCUUGCUGGUGAUCCCACGAAGAAGAAAAUCAGCUCGAGAAGGAACAAGGGCAUCGAAGGCGGACAUGGUGUCAGUGCAGGUGGUGACUCACUUACUCUGCCUCGAUUGCUACAACCAAAUCCCUGCGAUAUCUAUAUCUACAUGCGUUUGCUGCCGGCCAAGAGCAUGAGCAGAGCCAGCCUAGUCAGCUAGUGUACGUGUGCCUCUGCUGUCUGCUGAUGAUUUUAUUUUUUGAUUUUGAGAUAGCUCAGACGACAUCUUGGUCUCAAAGUUGUUUUUUUUUUCUUAAUUCGUGUCAGCUAGCAAUGUUUUUAUAGAGCACCAUGUCAGCUCGCUGCGUGCACAUAUGAGAUUCACCUUGGUCUCGGAGUUUUUUCCCCCUUAAUUCGUGCUUUGAUUUUUGUGGGAUUUUCUAACCUAUUUCUCCUUUUUAUGGUUAGCCCGUAAUGUACUUGUAAUGUAUAAUAGAUAUGUCUAGAAAAAUUAUACUAGUAUGAUAUAUAUGUGGCUACCUCUUUAGCCUACCAUGUUUAUUUCCUUCUUUUGCAUAAAGAUUUAUCGUAUUCUAUAUUUUUUAUUUGUUGCCUCUUUCUCCAACACCGAGCUCUUGGUAGAGAGUUAGUGCCAUUUUUCUCGUGGCCGUGCAUUACGGAACUUACAGAGAAAACCUGUGAGGAGUGUAGUGUUCCUUGUGAGCAUUGGAUGCCUGUAGGCUGUAGCUUCUCUUUGUUUGUCAAGAUAUGCCAGUGCGUGGAUUAAGAUUUCAGCCUAGGUUGACUUUGAUUUCAUAGCUCUGGCAUGCGAGACAGGCACUACACACAUGCUUUUGAAAUCUAUAUUCAUCGAUGAUUCUGAUUCAGUUUCUUUGCUGCAUGUUUAUAAAACUGAUCACAGGAAAGUAUUAUCGCUUGGACAUCAAGAGCAAAUUUAUGAUGCAGAGAUUAGAGGAUUUCAGCUGCCUGCGAUGGUAGAUACAUUUUUGUGAAUGGAAGCGCAAAGUGAAUUCCAACUUUUUUGAAGCAAAAUGGGUGAAAUUGGAUGAGGAUUGGAGAUGGCGUGUAACCUACUUACACAUGGAUGGUAUGCUCGUCAUCUUGCAUGUGGAAAGGCUCUUUGGUGUAUGUAGUGGCAGUAGCAUGAUAGAAAAAAAUAAAAGAAAUAGAAGUCACAGUUCAAACUGAAUAAGGUUUAUUCUGUCUUAUGAACACAACACCGUGGAAACAAUCAUUAAUAUGCAUAUCAGGAUGGCUCAUCUACGCAACGCUCUCUUACCAGCUUAAUUUAUGUUAAUAAACAGUGGUAAAAAUUGCUAUAGCCUAUAAGUGAUGCUCAUUGGCCAUGCUCGCCACCAUAGCCACUCCCAUUGCCAUAGCCAUAGCCUCCACCACUUCCAUGCCCAAAACCACCACUGCCGCCUCCACCGCCGCCGUUCAUGCCACCACCACCUCCCCCUCCACCGCCUCCUCCUCCACCACCGCCGUUCAUGCCACCACCACCUCCNNNNNNNNNNNNNNNNNNNNNNNNNNNNNNNNNNNNNNNNNNNNNNNNNNNNNNNNNNNNNNNNNNNNNNNNNNNNNNNNNNNNNNNNNNNNNNNNNNNNNNNNNNNNNNNNNNNNNNNNNNNNNNNNNNNNNNNNNNNNNNNNNNNNNNNNNNNNNNNNNNNNNNNNNNNNNNNNNNNNNNNNNNNNNNNNNNNNNNNNNNNNNNNNNNNNNNNNNNNNNNNNNNNNNNNNNNNNNNNNNNNNNNNNNNNNNNNNNNNNNNNNNNNNNNNNNNNNNNNNNNNNNNNNNNNNNNNNNNNNNNNNNNNNNNNNNNNNNNNNNNNNNNNNNNNNNNNNNNNNNNNNNNNNNNNNNNNNNNNNNNNNNNNNNNNNNNUUCAUGCCACCACUACCUCCCCCUCUACUGCCGCCUCCUCCAUCGCCACCAUUCAUGCCAUGACCACCUCCCCCUCUACCGCCUCCUCCUCCACUGCCACCGUUCAUGCCACCACCUGACCCGUGGCCUUCUCCAUACCCAGACCCAUAUCCACCGCCAUUGCCAUAGCCGGAUCCGCGGUCACCUCCUCCACUAUCUCCCCCGCCACCUUGACCACCAGAACCGUAACCUGAGCCAUAACCACUGUCGUAACCUGAGCCGUACCCUGAGCCCAUGUCACCGCUACCUCCCCAAUUGCCACCACCACCAAUGCCUCCGCCAUAGCCAUAACGGCCUCCAUAGCGUGAACCGUAGCCAUAACCGUAGCUGGCACUUCCACCACCUUCCCCUCUACCUCCACCACCACCGUAGCCGCCUCCUCUAGCACCAAUGCCAGUUACAGUGACCGGGGCUCUUGCGGCAACAAUGAUGUGGGUGCCAGUGAGAAGGAUCAAGAGAGAAGCGAGAGCUAGAGCCUGCUUGCUGGUGGUGGCCAUUGUGACUGUGUUUUUGUGUUGUGAACGGCUUGAGAUCGAUGCCUAUACAAUUUAUAGCCAAGGCGGUGAGGGGUGUGCUGUUGGUGGUUGGUGGCCACAGGGGGGCUUGUCAUAUAGUGGAUAGCAGUUUGCAUACAGGAAAUUAACAUAAAUACAUAAUACAUGGGCAGUUUGCAUCGAGGAAAUUAAAGAGCAAGCGAGAGGUAACUUUUGGACUAGCUGCUGUCAAUCAUGUAGAUGAAGAAGAAAGAAGGAGAGACACAAAUAAAUACAUGGUUCAACAAAGAGUUAGUUUGCCUGAAUGCAACUGAAAGAAGAGCUAGCAUAAUACUCACAUGUUAGAAGUUUGCAAGGAAGCAAGAGAAGAAAGACAGAGGUGUAUAGUGUUGGCCGAUGUGGAUAAAAUGAACAAGAGAGCCUGGCAAGAGUGUAAUUAGCUGUCAGGGUGGUGGUUGUGAUGAGGUAUGAUUACUAGCACUAAUAUAUAGGCUGGCAAUGGCAGUUGCAGUGGCAGUGCUAAUUCACUCACUCACCAGAAAAAUAAUAAUAAUUAAGAAGAACACUACAGGGUGGUGGUUGUGAUGAGUUAAGAUUACUAGUAGUACGUACUAGUAUUAAUAGCCUGACACUGGUGGCAGUGGUAAGACAAUGUUGGAAGAAGGUGCUGCAACCAAUAUAGUAAUAUAAACUGAAAGGAACCACCCCACCCAGUGUGUAGCAGAUUGGAUUGGAUUAGAUUAGAGAAGGAAUAGGUCAAAAACAAGAGGUAGGUUGGUAAAAAACAGCGAGGAGCAUCCAUCCAUCCAUCCAUCCGUACAAGCAAAGCAAGGGAUCUCUCUCAAGAGAAGAAACAGACUUACAGCUACGAUACCAAGAAGGACAAGGGCGUACGUGGGAUCGGCAAGGGAGGUCGCCUUCUUCCUCCCUUCCUCCUGUGCCCAAGAACUAGAAGAAGAAAAAGAAGAAGCUGCCCUGGUCUAGUCUUGUGUGAUAUAGGCGACGGUUGCUUUGCUUGCCUCUUCUUGCUGUUCGUGGUUGUCAGAUCACAUCUACAGCGCACAUGCCAAAAACCAAAACAAAAUUACAUAAAAUAAAGCAGGCACUACUGCAACUAUCAGAGCAGAGCAGAGGGGCUCACUUCCACGUGCCGCCCUUAUUUGUUCACCAGAGCAAAGCAGAAACAAUAAUCCGACUUGCAUGACUUUUCUGAAUCCUUUUCUUCUCAUCAACAUGAUCUAGGCAACAUACAUAUAAACAUAUACACGGAUGGAUCGAUACAUGAUAGAUAGGGGUAUAUAUAUCUUGUUCAGGCGCAGGCUAGCUAGCUUAAUCCUCAAGUGCAAAAACAAAGGAAAACAAAAGAAGAAACCCUAAAGCUAAAAUGCAUGCUGCACUAGCUAAUUAAAGUACCACCUAGUAGCUGUAUAUAUAAGUUCAAAGGAAAACACAUAUCUAUGAAUCCGAGUUGUGGGGCGUGUGUGUGCAUUGGAGUCGAUCGGUCUGCAGCUUGCCGCGUACGUAGCAUGGACGAGCUGUCUCGUGCUCCCAUCUCUACUCCCCCACCGUUCACUUACCAUCCUACACGGUUUCAGCAUUUUUCUCUCCCGCUUGCCAAAACAGAUCGAAACUACUCUCUGUAUUUGUUUUCUUCCCUGAACCCAUACGUAGCGCUCAGGCCGUCGCCCAUGUUAGCCUCGCGUGUCGGCCUGGCCCUGCUGCUGGCGGGCUAGCCGCACGAGCAACGACAUUGAGAGAGGUGGCACCGGUACGGUGCGCGUGUGUAAACUUUGGAAGCGUUCCUACUCCCAGAGGGAGCCGCGUGACGUAUAUUUAUUGUAGACGAGAAGCCCUCGUUGUGGCGUACAAGUUAGGCCUCGAUCGAUCCAUGAUCUCAUCGGAAUACAAGAGAGACAGAAUUUGACAGAGAUACAGGAGGAGGUUGAGAUUACACCCAGAACCAAUACGUCUAACACCCUCCCUUAAUCUCAACUAUCUUACAUUAAGAUUUCUCUUGAAUUCUUCAAAUGGUUUGACCGGCAAGGCUUUAGUGAAACCAUCCGCCACUUGAUUUUUGCAAAGAAUGAAUCGUAUGUCAAACUUCUUCUCUGCAACUCUUUCUCUCACAAAAUGAAAGUCAAUUUCAAUGUGUUUGGUUCUACCAUGAAAAACUGGAUUAGCAGAAAGAUAAGUUGCCCCCAAAUUGUCACACCAUAAACAAGAUGUACGAUGUAGCUUGAUUCCUAGCUCAUGAAUAAGUGAUUCCAACACUAGUAGAAGACAGGGCUUUGGUUCGGGCCUGGCCAGCCCAUUAGUCCCGGUUCUGCACGAACCGGGACCCAUGGGGGGCAUUCAUCCCGGUUCGUGAGCCCAGGGGGCCAGCCGGGGCCUCGUGGGUAUUGGUCCCGGUUCGUCUGGACCCAUUUGUCCCGGUUCUAGGCACGAACCGGGACCAAUGGGCCUCGCUCCUGGCCCACAUCCAUUGGUCCCGGUUCGUGGCUCGAACCGGGACAGCAGGCUGGGCUUUAGUCCCGGUUUCAACCACGAACCGGGACAAAUGAGUUGCCUAUAUAUACCCCAUCGCCGCAGCAGAGCACUCAACAGUGCUCUGUUUUUUCUGGCCGGCGAGGGGAGGGCAUUUGGGUGCUCUAGCUCACCUCCUAUGAGGUGUUCGAUGAAAUGUCCGAGCCACACUAGUUAAUUUUUUUCCUCUCGAAACUCGACCUCCGAGCUCAAUUUUCCCCGAGAUUUGUCUAAGUUUAGCGGUCCGUCACGCCCCGUCCCCGUCUUCACCGCCGUUGAUCGCCUGCGCCGAUCUCGUCGCCGGCACCACCGUGGUGAGCCUCUUGUUCUUAUCUUCUUUCUGAAAGAAAAAAAUUCCUACUUUAGAUAGAUACUUGUCUAAUUUUCUUACUUUUAUUAUUCCUUGUUAUUAUAUAGUGCGAUGGUUUUGGUAUCCGCCCCCGUCGGCCCUUGUCCUGUCUAUGAUUCGGAUGUGAUAUAUAUUAUCUUUUUAUAACUAUUUGGUUCACUUAUUGUUUAUCACAAUUAUGCCGACCAACGUGACAUAGAUUUUAUUUAUCUAGGAGGUGGUUGAACCGGAAAUUCCAACCGACCCUAUUGUCGAGAGGUUAAAUUUAGUUGAAGAAGAAAACAAUUACUUGAAGGAAAAAAAAUUGAGGAGGAGAAUACGAUAUUGGAGUUGCAUGUUGCGGAUGUCGUCGAUGAUCACAAGAUCAAGAUGGAUGCAAUGCGGUUGAAGAUUAGAAGAUUAGAAAAUAUGCCAUCCAUACCGAGGCUUGAUAUCAUUAUGCCGUUGGAUCAAUUGUUAACUUGGUUGUGAUUAUGAUCGCAUUUGUUGUUGCAUUGAAAGAUUUUACAUAGUUUCAAUGUAUGGUUUAACUAGAUGCUCUGGAGAGCUAUAUGUUGUUCAAUUUGAACUAUGUAUGUACUUUGGUUUUAAUGUGAUGAUGAACUACUAUUAAUUUGGUCACUUAUCUAUCCAUGUGAAUCUGUAAUGGUUUUUGACACACAAAAUUAUAUAUAAUGCACACAGAUGAACCGGCAAUGGAUGUACGGUGACAGACACACAUAAUUAUGUUUUCUCGAAGUGGCUGAGGCAAACAAGAAGAAUGGUUUUAUGUGUUGUCCAUGCCCUAACCCUCUCAACUUUUUAACACAUUCUGUGUGGGUGAAAUGAUGAUACCAUGCCAACUUUCAACCUUUUCAGAGUUCAUUUGAAAUGCUUUUAAAUUUCAGGGUCUUAUAGCUAAAAAAAAUCAGUAGAUGCAUGAAAAAUAACAAAUGAAAUCAGAAAGGGUUGAAAAUUGAUGAUGUGGUUUUAAAUGGUGCAUUUUGAACACACAAAAAGUCUGCAGUUCAAAUAAGUUUUAAAAAAUGAAAUCCCUUUGUAACAGAUGAGUUUUCGUAUGAAACCCUGAUACUUCGAAAGAAGACAUUGUCCGUUUUGUACACGAAGUGCAUUUAGUUUUGCCGUAACCCUCUCAACUUUUUAGCACAUGCUGUGUGGGUGAAAUAAUGAUACCAUGCCAAAUUUCAACCUUUUCAGAGUUCAUUUGAAAUGCUUUUGAAUUUCAGGGUCUUAUAGCUCAAACAAAAUCAGUAAAUGCAUGAAAAAUAACAAAUGAAGUCAGAAAGGGUUGAAAAUUGAUGAUGUGGCUUUGAAUGGUGCAUUUUAAACACACAAAAAGUCUGGAGUUCAAAUAAGUUCAAAAACUGAAAUCCCUUUGUAACAGAUGAGUUUUCGUAUGAAACCCUGAUACUUCGAAAGAGAUUGUCCAUUUUGUACACGAAGUGCAUCUAGUUUUUGCCGUAACCCUCUCAACCUUUUAGCACUUUCUAUGUGGGUGAAAUGAUGAUACCAUGCCAACUUUCAACCUCUUCAGAGUUCAUUUGAAAUGCUUUUGAAUUUCAGGGUCUUAUAGCUCAAAAAAAAUCAGUAAAUGCAUGAAAAAUAGCAAAUGAAGUCAGAAAGGGUUGAUAAUUGAUGAUGUGGCUUUGAAUGGUGCAUUUUGAACACACAAAAAGUCUGGAGUUCAAAUAAGUUUAAAAAAUGAAAUCCCUUUGUAACAGAUGAGUUUCCGUAUGGAACCCUGAUACUUCAAAAGAUGACAUUGUCCGUUUUGUACACGAAGUGCAUCUAGUUUUUGCCGUAACCCUCUCAACUUUUUAGCACAUGCUAUGUGGGUGAAAUGAUGAUACCAUGCCAAAUUUCAACCUUUUCAGAGUUCAUUUGAAAUGCUUUUGAAUUUCAUGGUCUUAUAGCUAAAAAAAUCAGUAAAUGCAUGAAAAAUAACAAAUGAAGUCAGAAAUGGUUGAAAAUUGAUGAUGUGGCUUUGAAUGGUGCAUUUUGAACACACAAAAAGUCUGGAGUUCAAAUAAGUUGAAAAAAAGAAAUCUCUUUGUAACAGAUGAGUUUUCGUCCGAAACCCUGAUCAACUAAAAUGCCACAUCAUUUAGCUCAAAAAUAAUCAAUUAAAAUAUUCUGUUAUGAUCAACUAAAACAAAACUAUAAUAUUCUUUAAUAGCAAAAAGAAAAUUAACUAAAAAACUUUUAAAAAAUUCUAAUAGCAAAAGGAAUCAACUAAAAAGCUUUUAUAAACCUCUAGUAUUUUUUAAACUAAAAUUAUANNNNNNNNNNNNNNNNNNNNNNNNNNNNNNNNNNNNNNNNNNNNNNNNNNNNNNNNNNNNNNNNNNNNNNNNNNNNNNNNNNNNNNNNNNNNNNNNNNNNNNNNNNNNNNNNNNNNNNNNNNNNAUAAAUUAAAAUUUAAUAAAAUAAAUAAGUCGAAACAAAAUAAAAUAAAAUAAAAUAAACUUUAAUAAAAUAAAUAAGUAGAAACAAAAUAAACUUUAAUAAAGUAAAAUAAAUAAACUUUAAUAAAAUAAUUAAAAAUAGCAACAGUAAGUAUUUUGUUGUAAGUAGAAAAUAAAUAAAGCAACAAAGAAAAAAAGUGCCACCUACUCGGGCACCACGGUCUGAAUACGACUCGAAACCCAACUAUGGGUUAGGAUUCAGGCCCGCAGGAGGCCCAGUAGGCCCACAGGCACAUAGUGACAGAUUAGGCCCGAAAGCCUACAGUUGAGAGGAGCUCGAGAUGGUGGGUGCAGCAGCGCUUAUAAACCACUCUCGAGCUCUCUCAACUAGCGAGGUGGGACUAAACUUUUGGCCGCAACGCGGGCAGCACAAGGCCUUUGGUCCCGGUUGGUGCCACCAACCGGGACUAAAGGGGUGCGUUGCUACCGGUUCGUGGCACCAACCGGAACCAAUGCCCCCCCUUUAGUCCCGGUUGGUGCCACCAACCGGGACCAACGGCCUCUGCUUCCCGCCCUUUGGGCUGCUGAAAAGAGACCUUUGGUCCCGGUUGGUGGCACCAACCGGGACUAAACAGGGGCAUUGGUCCCGGUUGCUACCACGAACCAGGACCNNNNNNNNNNNNNNNNNNNNNNNNNNNNNNNNNNNNNNNNNNNNNNNNNNNNNNNNNNNNNNNNNNNNNNNNNNNNNNNNNNNNNNNNNNNNNNNNNNNNNNNNNNNNNNNNNNNNNNNNNNNNNNNNNNNNNNNNNNNNNNNNNNNNNNNNNNNNNNNNNNNNNNNNNNNNNNNNNNNNNNNNNNNNNNNNNNNNNNNNNNNNNNNNNNNNNNNNNNNNNNNNNNNNNNNNNNNNNNNNNNNNNNNNNNNNNNNNNNNNNNNNNNNNNNNNNNNNNNNNNNNNNNNNNNNNNNNNNNNNNNNNNNNNNNNNNNNNNNNNNNNNNNNNNNNNNNNNNNNNNNNNNNNNNNNNNNNNNNNNNNNNNNNNNNNNNNNNNNNNNNNNNNNNNNNNNNNNNNNNNNNNNNNNNNNNNNNNNNNNNNNNNNNNNNNNNNNNNNNNNNNNNNNNNNNNNNNNNNNNNNNNNNNNNNNNNNNNNNNNNNNNNNNNNNNNNNNNNNNNNNNNNNNNNNNNNNNNNNNNNNNNNNNNNNNNNNNNNNNNNNNNNNNNNNNNNNNNNNNNNNNNNNNNNNNNNNNNNNNNNNNNNNNNNNNNNNNNNNNNNNNNNNNNNNNNNNNNNNNNNNNNNNNNNNNNNNNNNNNNNNNNNNNNNNNNNNNNNNNNNNNNNNNNNNNNNNNNNNNNNNNNNNNNNNNNNNNNNNNNNNNNNNNNNNNNNNNNNNNNNNNNNNNNNNNNNNNNNNNNNNNNNNNNNNNNNNNNNNNNNNNNNNNNNNNNNNNNNNNNNNNNNNNNNNNNNNNNNNNNNNNNNNNNNNNNNNNNNNNNNNNNNNNNNNNNNNNNNNNNNNNNNNNNNNNNNNNNNNNUCUGAUUUAGUACAUUUUAGGUUAGUUUCAUUUUUAGAAUUUUUUUAUAUAUUUGGGAAGAAGGAAGAGAAGGAAGAAGGAAGAAGAAGAAAAAGUUUUAUAUAUGCAAAAGUUGCAUUUUUAGAAAAGUUUUAUAUAUCUAGCUAGGAAAGGAAGAAGAAGAAAAAGAAGGAGAGGAAAAAGGAAAAUAAGAAGAGGAAUUAAGGAGAAGAAGAGGAGAGGAAGAAGAGGAGAAAUAAAUAAGAAGAGGAAAAAAGAAGAAAAAGAAGAGGAGAAGAAGAAAGGAAUAGAGGUAUUUCUCCUCUAUUCCUUUCUUCUUCUCCUCUUUUUUUCUUCUUCUUUUUUUUCUUCGAUCUUCUCCUCUAUUCCUUUCUUCUUCUCCUCUUUUUAUUUCUUCUUCGUCUUCUUAUUUUUUAUCGGGUAUGUCGUUGUCGAUAUACCCCCUCCCGAUAACUUCAACAUGAGGGGGGGUGGGUCAAUAUACCCCCUCCCCGAUAACAUUAUUUUCCCAUGUAUGUAUGUCGUCGUUGUCGAUAUAACCCCCUCCCUGAUAACUUUGACAUGAGGGGCGGUCGAUAUAUAUACCCCCUCUCGACCACGAUAACUUAUACCACGGGAGCACCCCCAGCCCUCUCGCUCGACCAAAACUCUCGAGGACACCCAAACCCUAGAAAAAAACGAUGUCGGUCUCCUACCCCCUCCCGCCGCGCCCCUACCCGACAAACUCUCUCGAGGCCACGCAAAUUUACCAAGUUCAAAGAGCAUUGUCGUCGAGGCCACCCCAAACCCUUGAAGUGUUGUCGAGGCCACCCCAAACCCUUGAAGCGUUGCCGAGGCCACCCCAAACCCUAGAGAAGCGUCGAGGCCACUAAUAUGAUUCAUUAUUGUGAUUAGCUAGCUAGUUCUACGUUUGCCACUAAUAUAUCCAUCUGUCAUGUUUGAAUAAUAAUUGCCAUGCUGUAAAUAUUUGCAGAAACUAUGGAGCACCCCCGAGACGAAGCAAUAGAAGCGGUGUUGGGGGACAUAAUCGCAGCCGGAAGUGAUGCCGUCUUGUCGUUUCUCAACGACACCGAUGGUCUAGAAGGACAGGGUGAAGAAGCAGGCUACGGUGAUCGAACAAUGGAGGAGGAAGGACAUGAUUAUGAUGGCUUCGGUGACCGAAUGCCGGUGGAAGGACACCGUGAUGACGGCUUUGGUGACCGAACGGAGUCCGACCAGGUAUAUAUAUUAAUUAAGCAUGUGCUGACUAUAGCUAAUUGAUGCAUUACUUGUAUUUGGUAUGUACACAUAUUAACUCUCUUCUUUCUUCUUUUCUAGCCCUCCAGAUCGAGCAAAACUGAGGUAACGAGACGAGGCCCGAAGAGAAAGUUGCGCUCGGAUGAAAGGUACACGAUCACCGAGAUCGACCGCGAUGGCCAACCGAUUGAACCCCUCCGGACCAAGCAAGCAUUUUCUACUCAGCGCGGGGUUCUUGUUAGGGACAUGAUCCCGAUCAGCACCGAGCAAUGGUUUAAGCCUAAGGACAAAGACUCUGGGGUGUCUUAUGUCGACGAUAGGCAGAAAGCUGAUCUUUGGACCGCGCUGAAGGGAAAUUUCAACCUACCGCCAGAGGAGGAUCCGGAGAAGCCAGUUAAAGAGCCAUUGAUCAAGGCUCAUGCUCUUAAGAAGAUGGCUGAGCUAUUCAGGAGGUGGAAGAAUGAGCUGAAAUCAAUGUUUGUCGAUAAUGACAAGACUCCAGAAUUCAUUGGCCGAUUUGAGAAGAUCAAAGAUCACUGGGACGCAUUUGUCGCCCAAAAGAAAUCUGAGAAGGCCAAGAAGAUGUCAGCGACAAACAAGAUAAAUGCUGCAAAGAAGAAGCAUCACCAUCGCACGGGGUCAGGUGGCUACCUGAAAGCCCGACCGUUGUGGGAGAAGGCUGAGAAUGACCUGCUUGGUUCCUCGGGGUUGGGGGAACAUUGGACCCUGAAACAAGGAAGUGUGUUUGGACGGACGAGCAGCUGAAUACACCCAUCACGAGGCUUCAGGAGUUUAUUGAAAAAGCGCAGGAAGGGACAUUCGUUCCGGAUAGAGAGAACGACGAGCUCACAUAGGCCCUCGGGAAUCCUGAGCACACCGGACGGGCACGAGGCACGCCAGGCUCCGUUUCGUGGAAGGCUGGGUUUCCCGACGUAGGCGGUUACAAACGUCAGGAAAGGAAGAAGAAAGUGGAGUUGACCCAACUACAGGCGCUGCACGCAAGGGUACAAGCGCUAGAGGAACGAGAAGCAGUUCACAACAAGCGACCUGCCGAAGAUACCCCCGAAGCUACCCCGCCAUCUCAACGGAGAAGCAGCGUGACCUCCACCAAGCUGCUUCAGCCUGCCUUCACGACUCCUGCUAGCUUCCCCGUGGAUUCUAUCACGGAGUCUCAACAUUGCACCUUAUGACGCAAUGGCUGAAAUUGAAAGUCAAGGCGGCUGUUGGCUCUGUGGCACCUCCUGAACCUGGUGCAACUUUUCACUGCCGGCCGAUUCUAGAAGGAUAUGCUAGGGUGAUGGUGGAUGAAAUAACGGACGGAUUUGAGGACCUCGAGCUUGACCACCCUACGGGUGAAGGGGAGACUCGGCUGGGUUCUUCUCUGAAGACUCCAUGCCUAUGGCGGAAGGAGCUCAUCAACCUUCCGAACUGGACGCCUCCGCCUCCUCCUCCUCCGGCGAGUCAGGGCACUCCGCCUCCUCCUCCGCCUCCUCCUGCAGCGAGUGAUCAGGGCAAGAACCUCCUUCUCCGGCGCGUGGCGGCAAUCCGCCUCCUUCUCCACCUGCGCCGGCGCGCCCGAGCAGCCAGCCUCCUCCUUCUCCGCCUCGCCAGCAAGGGCGGAAGAGACCCGCCGCCGCUCCGGCUCCUCCGGCGCGUCGUAGUCCUUCUCCUCCACCUCGUAAGCAAGCACAAAAGAAGACAGCCGCAGCCGCUCCGUGUGCUCCGACGUCUAGCAGUACAGCCAGAGGCGGGAGGCAAUACAGUCGGCCCAUCUCUCAAGCCUCUAGAGAAGUUACCAUACGAGAAGACCGUGGAGGAAAACGCGAAGAUCGUGGAAAACGAAGUGAGGGAUUUCUUUCAAGCGGUGAAAGCAAAGAAACAUCCACCUCCGGAGGAGAUGAUAGAUCCGGUGAAAUCAAAGCGCACUAUCGAUGCCCUGAAGAAACCACCACCGUCUCCGUCGUAAAACAACUAUGAGCGCAUUAUUGAAAGGUCAUAUAUCGAAGCGGAGCAGUCGGGAAGUACUAUCAGUGAUCGAAGGUUAGUAUAAUGACGAGCUGGGAAAAAAAUUGCCCAACUUGGCGAACAAGUGAACCAAUCGUGCCCCCCGCUCAAGGUGUCUAGCGAUAUCGUCGCUAAUCAUCCGGAUAUUUUUCCCAAUACCAAUCUUGGAGAUUACCUGCCCGACGAUGUACAUUAUGAUUUCUUGGAGGUGGACGAACACAAAUACCAUUACGGGAAGCCUCUCGUCAAAGAUGAAAGAUCUCUAACAACGAUGAUGCGAAAAUUCCAUGAUUAGUACAUGAAAACCUGCAGAGAGUCUGGGGGGACGAAUACUUUGACGCUGAGAGUUAGAGAGGAGCAUGACCUCGUUGGAAUUGAACUGUUGUCUGUUCCAUUUGAGGAGUUCUUCCAGUUUUUCAAUCAAAAGGCCCUCGAUAAAUUAACGGUCACUUGCUACUGUCUAUAAGUACUACUUCUGUCAUUAAGUCUCUAUAUAUAGGUCAACUCUUUCAUUGCAUGUAUAUAUAAUUAUCCUCACUAUAUUAUGCAGAUUGAAGAUCGCCGAAUUGAAGAAAAGACAAAUCGGUGAUAUUGGGUUCAUUAACAUAAAUCUCAUAGAUGCAUAUACGGUUGAAUUUCAUGCCAAAGAUAUCGAGGCCAACUUGCUACGAUCGUUGGUAUUAAAUCAAAACAAAGCUAUAAUACUCUUUCCUUACAACUUCAAGUGAGUGUUACUGUCUUUUGCAUAUUCGGUUUCCCUUAUUAGUCGAGGUUAUAGUAAUGUAAUUGAUGAGUUAUGCAUGCGUGCGCGGGUUCCACUAUAUUCUCCUAGAGAUUAAGCUUGAGCAGGGACUAGUAACCGUCUUAGACUCGAGACGAAAAGAUCCCCAGGAGUAUGCAGACAUGACUGAAAUGCUCGAGAAGUAAGUUAAAUCGAUCAUUAUCGCACCAUAUCGGCAACUUUGUUCAUUUCCUGAUAUCAAGUAAUUGUUUUCUUUGUCUGGCAGGGUUUGAAAAAAAUUCACCUCAAAAGCUCCGAGACUGCCGAAGAAGCUGCAAUUUACACACCCGAAAGUAAGUACUACUAGUUAGUUCCGCGCAUCUCCUAGUGAUUCAAGCACUAGUUUCAUCAAUACCAUUUAGCAUGCUUGCUUAUCAGUUUGAUUGACUUUUAUUUCUUGUAAAGUGGUUGUGGCAGGAAGCCGGGAAUAAUUACUGUGGAUACUACGUUUGUGAGUCCAUCCGCCACACGACCUGUGAGCGGGGCUACUCUAACAAACAAUAUGAAGUGUGUAAGCAAUAAUAUUCACAAUUUUAUUUUAUUACCAUCAUUUGUGUUGAGUUUCAUUCAUUCAUAUAUAUGUAUUGACCCUCUUCUUCCAAUUUAGAUGUUUCGGAUGCGGGAUGAACUCCUAGCACCAGAUCGCAUGCGAGCAAUUCAAGAGGAAUUGGCGGCAUUCUUUCUUGACCACGUGAUCGAUAAAGACGGAGAAUACCAUGUGGACCCUGAGUUCAUAUAUAAUUAGGGGAUUAUAUUGUAAGAGGUCUUAUAUUGUAUAUAUGUAGCCAGUAGCGUCGGAUAGAUAUACAAAAACUUGUUGUUCGACCAAUCUCUCGGAGAAGGAGAGGUCGAUAUCACUUCUCUCUGUAUGCAUAUGUUCAUGACGAUAUUCUGUUUCCUUCAUUUGCUUACUAGCUAGCGUGUCGAGUCCUCUCUAUACGUAUAGUACGUAGCGUUGACCAAGAACGAAGAUAGGAGAGGACACUUCUCUCUAUUAAUUAGCUAGCUAACACAAUAUAUGAAACAUCUAAAUUAACCCCCCAAAACCCCUAACCCCCCUUUCAAAAAAAACAAAACCCCCAGCCCCUGAAAUGCUGACGCGUGGACGCUUAUUGGUCCCGAUUGGUGCUACCAACUGGGACCAAAGGCCCUCCUGCCUGGGCUCGCCGCAGCGGCCACGUGGAGGCCCAUCUGUCCCGGUUCAUGUAAGAACCGGGACUAAAGGUAUAGGGCUUUAGUAACGACCCUUUAGUCCUGGUUCCACAACCGGGACAAAUGGGCCUUACGAACCGGGACAAAUGACCCUUUUUCUACUAGUGCAACCAAAUAAUUUCAGCAGUGGCAUUUGCUAAAGAUUUGUACUAAGCUUCGGUGCUUGAUCUUGACACCGUGGCCUAUUUUCUGGCACUCCAGGAGAUAACAUUGGAGCCAAAAAAUACUGCAAAACCUCCAGUUGAUUUUCUGUCAUCACUACAUCCUGCCCAAUCAGCAUCAGAAAAUGCACUGACAAGAGUAGAACUAGAACGUCUGAACAGGAGACCCUAACUUGCAGUAUGUUUUAUGUAUCUCAUAAUUCUUUUAACAGUUGUCCAGUGUGCAGUAGUAGGUGCAAGAAAAUACUGACAAACCUUGUUAACUGCAAAGGAUAUAUCUGGUCGUGUCAAUGUCAAGUAUUGUAAGGCUCCCACUGCACUCCUAUAUUUUGUGCUUUCUUCUUCCUUAAGUUGCCCACCUUCAAAUGCUAAAAGUUUUUUUGAAGAAGACAAUGGUGUAGGUGAAGGCUUACAGUCCUUCAUCCCCAUACGAGUUAAUAGUUCAGUAGCAUAUUUUUCCCGAUUCAAUACUAUGCCAUCUUGAACUUUCUUAACCUCAAUGCCUAGGAAGAAGUGUAGAUCUCCAAGAUCUUUGAGAGCAAAUUCUGAACAUAGAUCAUGCAGAAGAGCAUUAGUGGCACUUUGUGAAGAACUUGCAACUAUAAUAUCAUCAACAUAUAUUAACAGGAAUAUAACUGUGUUUGCCUUGUUAUAAAUGAAGAGUGAUGUAUCAGCCUUGGAUGCAGCAAAACCAAGACGCCUCAACUGAGAAAUCAACCUUGAGUACCAUGAUCUCGGUGCUUGUUUCAAGCCAUAAAGAGUCUUAUCAAGCUUGCACACAUAGCGGGAUGUUUUUUUAUUCUCAUACCCAGGUGGUUUUCUCAUGUAAACCUCCUCUUCUAGAACACCAUGCAAAAACGCAUUCUGAACAUCUAGCUGUCUCAAGCUCCACCCCUGGACACAACAAUAGCUAGUACAAGCCUAAUAGUUGCAGCUUUAACGACAGGACUGAAAGUAUCUUCAUAAUCUAGACCAUAACGUUGCUUAAAACCUUUUGCAACUAGACGCGCUUUAUACCUAUCAAUUGAGCCACCUGCCUUUUUCUUGAUUCUGAAAACCCAUUUACAAUCAAUGAUAUUUUUACCUCUUUGUUUAGGUACAAGAUGCCAAGUUUUGUUUCUCAUAAGUGCAGAGUAUUCUUCAUCCAUUGCACUUUUCCACUUCAGAUCUCCAAGUGCAUCUUCUAACCUUGUUGGUUCCCCUGCAAUACACAACAUGCCAUACGGUGUAGUUCCAUCGGUUAGAAUUUUUGGAUUUCUUAUACCUUUUUGUAAACAAGUUGUAACACGCGGGAUCACUGGUUGAACAGGACGUGUCAUUUGUUGUGCAGAGGGCAACGCAGACUCAGCCACAGAAGAUCCAGAAGAAGCAUCAGAUGCACUUUCCGCAGCAGAUCCAGAGUUGGACGUUGUAGCCGGCGGUGUGGCCCUUGCUCCUGAGUCAGCUACCGCAGAAAAUCCAGAACCCGUCGCUAUCGGGGCCUCUGAUGGCGCGCGUGUGGGAUGCAGCCGUCCCGAGCCAUGCAUGCGUGUCGGCCACGGCCCCGCCGCUGCACGGAUCCGGCUUGCCUGCUCCCUCCCCAUGCUCCCAUCCGUGCUCCCACUUCAUCCUACGGCUGUUUCCCCCCUUUUUCCAAUCUAAUCUAAUCAUCUCCUCCCUGAUUUUAAGGGGUUGGGGCCGGACCUUAUUUUGUUCCAAUCAAAUCAAGCCACGUACGCGGGAGCACAGAUGGGCGCACGCGCGGGGAGCAUGCAAGUCUCGUCCCCGCUGCACAGGGCAACGUGGCACCCGCCCGCUGGCUGGGCUGACUCCUUCCAGGCGCGUGAUCCCGCGCGAAUCCUCGCGCGUGGUCCCAGGAAUCCGAGCACACAGGAGUUUCAGGUGACGCGGGAUCCGCCUCGUCUCCAGCGCCUAUUUCAUAUCCUUCCAGUUCAUGAAAUAUAGCACCGUUUUCAACAAAAUUUUGAUCAUUUUCUUCAUCAUUUUCUGUACCGUUUUCUUCUAUGUCUUCUUCAUGAACCUGCACAGGUGUGGACACAGUACAAGGACUAGUAGAAUUAUCAUGGCCCCCAUGAUCAAAAUCGCGAGGAUUAAAUGGAAGAAGAAGAAUUUCCUUUUUAAGGAGUGCUCCGGCAUUAGGAUGAAGAGAUGCAAAGGGAAAAACCGACUCGUCAAUAACGACAUCAUGGGAUAUAUAGACCCUACCAGUGGAGAUAUCUAGACAUUUGACCCCUUUGUGAAUUGGACUAUAUCCAAGAAAAGCACAUUGCUUUGAACGAAAGGCAAGUUUGUGUGCAUUGUAAGGUCUAAGGUUUGGCUAGCAUGCGCAACCAAAUACACGAAGUGAUUUAUAAUCAGGAGUAAUGCCAAAAAGUCGUGUGAUAGGAGUUUCAAACUUGAUGACUCUGCUAGGAAGCAAGUUUAUUAGGUAUGUGGCAGUCAAGAAUGCUUCAUCCCAAAACUUUAGUGGCAUGGACACAUUUUCUAGUAGGGCUAGCCCUACCUCAACAACGUCGCGAUGUUUCCUUUCUGCAGAACCAUUCUGUUGAUGAGCAUGAGGACAUGAAACAUGGUGUGAGAUACCAAGUUGCUGAAAGAAAGAAUUGAGUUUCUUGUAUUCACCACCCCAGUCAGUUUGCAUGGCGAUGAUCUUAGUGCUUAGUUUCCGUUCAACAAGAUUUUGAGAAUUCUUGAAAACUUGAAACACCUCAGAUCAUUUUUUAAGGAGAUAGAUCCAAGUAAAUUUACUGUAAUCAUCGAUGAAGCUUACAUAAUAUGAAUGUCUACCGACUGAAAUAGGAGCUGGUCCCCAAACAUCUGAGAAUACAAGUUGUAACGGUCGAGUAGAUAUGCUGGUUGAAAUAUGAUAUGGUAGCUGAUGACUUUUAGCUUGCUGACAUGGAUCACAAACUGACUCAGUGCUAGACUCAUGAGUAUGAGGAAGCUUAUUUCUACUAAGAUCAAGUUUAACAAUAACUGAUGAGGGGUGACCUAAUCUACUAUGCCACUUUGAAGAAGAUGCCUUGAUGACGACAAAAGCUUGUUUAUUCAGUGAUGAUGACGAUGAUAUGAGUGGGUAAAGACCUCCCACACACUUGCCCCUAAGAAGGAUUCUCCUCGUGUCCAAGUCCUUAACCAAAAAGAAGUAAGGAUAAAAUUCAAUGAGAACACGAUUAUCACGAGUAAACCUAUGAACUGAGACAAGAUUUUUUGAAGUUUCAGGAACAUGCAGGAUUUGAUUUAGAUGCAAAUUUUUAAUUAGGGUUUUAACAAUUGAAUGACCAAUAUGAGUGAUUUCCAUACCAGAACCGCUUGCGGUGUGGAUUUGAUCCGGUCCGUGGUACUUGUCUCUGAUUGUCCAGCUCACCGGUGAUGUGAUUUGUAGCUCCAGUGUCCGUAUACCAGUUGGUGUCGAUGCCAUAGCCGUUGGUGACAGCAUUAGCCUCUUUUUCCUCAUAGUCAUCUUCCUCAUAGCAAUCCCAACAAGCACAGGCACCUCCUGCAUGGAACUUGUAACAAAUCUGACAUUCGGGAUAGUCCCGAGGGGGUUGUUGGCGCUGCUGCUGCUGCUGCUGUUGCGGGCGACCUCUGUAGCCUCUGCCACCAUUUCCGACAGGAGGAGAAGGGGGACGCCUUCGUCGGCCACGCCCACGGCCUCGAUUCCUGUUUUGGCCGCGCCCCCUGUACACUGUGUUUGCAGAAGAAUUGAAGCUCCGAUCUGUACCAUCCCCGAGCAUCUCCACUCGUUGAUCGAAGGCAGAAAUCUGGGCGAAGAGCUCAUCCACGGUGAUGGAAGUUUUGACAGCACCAAUGGCCGCCACAACCGGAUCAUAAUCUCGGUCUAGACCUGCACAUAAUCUACCAUCUCGGGAUCAGAAACCGGAUGGCCUGCUGCUGCAAGUUCGUCCCCAAGGUUCUUCAUCUUGGCGAUGUAGGUGCUGCUGGACAUGGCGCCCUUCUUCGUGGUAGUGAUGGCAAUCCGCAGGUUCGUGAUUCUGGACUGGGACUGCGAUGCAAAAAUUGUGGUGAUUGCAGUCCAUAGAUCGAAGGUGUUUUCCUUAACAAUAACUUGAGCAAGGAUCUUCUUGGAGAGUGAGUUCAGCAGGUAACUUAGGACCUGCCGAUCCUUCGACAGCCACGGCGCGUACAAAGGAUUUGGUACUGCAACCGUGGUCUUGUCCGACUGCUGCUACUCCACCGUGGUAGGGGGCACUGCGUCGGUUCCAUCUAGAAGCCCCGUGACCUGCGCUCCUUGCAGGCCGGGCAUCACCUGAGCUUUCCACAAGAGGUAAUUCCCCUUUGACAACUUCUCGGAUGGAGGAGGACCAAGGUUGAGGACGACCGUGGUCGAGGUGGAAGACAUGGCGAUGGAAAGAAGUUUUCUGGAAGCUAGAUUGGGAAGAGGAUGGCUCUGUAUACCAUGUAGAAGUGCAUGCUCUAGCCAAUGCAACCAAAAAAACCGAUCUGAUGGAAGAGACUAGGCAGCACAUUAUACGUCAACACUCCCCCUCACGUAUGGCUCCCUCAGGCCUAAACAUGGACCGAAAGUGGGCUGCAAUUUAAUUGCGCCAGCCGGGUCUUGAACUCAAGACCUCUUGGCUCUGAUACCCUUCCUAACAAUACGUCUAACAGCGUGCUCAUCGUGGGCGCCACUGAGACCAACACGGCGUUCGCCGUCGUGGCGGUCAGGCCCCGCCUCGUGAACUUUGUGCGCGUGGGACGUCUGCCAAUAUACCAGGACGUCAUCGGCGUUGAGACCGGGCUCCCAAGCCUACCUGUCCGUGCGCCGCCCAAGUUCGUCAUCAUCGACGACGGCUACUAGUCGAUCGACACUCCUCUGGUUCCGUCACUGUCAACUAUGGCGCCAUGCCCAAUCUGACCAUGCGGUGUACCGCCGAGUACAAUGAUUACAUGCACAACAGAAGCAUGUGUCAACGAGAUAUCCUCAAGAAUCAAGGAGCUGCGGAGAUUUCCUCUAGAGUCGUAGUGUCAUCAGCGUGCCCCGCCCGCAUGGCUGCGCGACCGUGAGGUGCAUGACGAGGUCAUGGAGACCAUCCCGUCCAUUGAUGCGCAAGCUCCGUCGGAUGGUGCUCGCCGUCGUCAAUGCCACAAUUGCGCUCUCACCACGUUGUUGCUGCCGCCGUUGAACAUCAAAUGCCCAGGGCGCCGGAGCUGAUGCACAACGAUGGUCGACGGAGACAUGGCUGACCUAGUGGUGGACCACGACGACGGCUUUGGCCCAAGCGGCAGCGACCAGGCGCCGAGUCACAAUCACAAAGGAAAGAUACGGAUGCAGUACCGGAAAGAUAAACGAAUACGGUUGUUUUGUGAUUUGUUUUGGCAGCGAAAAAAGAUGCGGGGUGAGAAAAAAUGUUGACACCGUAGAAUGGCAAGUGAACAGUGAGGGAGUACAGAUAGGAGCACGAUGACCGGAGCAGGUAAGCCCGAAAAAAAAACAAAGACCUCACUACAGUGAUCAACUCCUCUCAACAGCAACACAGAAACCACCACCAAAGACAACAUCUAAAAAACAUAAAAGGUCUUCAAAAACGACACCUUCAAGAAGAAAACAGUGCACAAACACCUCCAUAUGUAGUGUAAGGGGCAUGGUCGGCCUUUCUAUUGACCAGACUGUUAGAUUGCCAAACAGUUCAUUACUGGCGGAGGCCCCCAGUGGGCAUACCUUGAUUCUGGGCAAAAACAAAUCUAUUACAUACUCAUGUAUUGUCGAUUGUCUCGUUCCCUCGUUCGAGUGCAGCUAGAAAAAGGCCGCUGGCACACAGGCACGCCGCACCCACGUGUUGGGCCGGCACACACAAGCACCCACGAGUUGGGCCUGCUGACACACAGGAAGCGGUCGAGCUCGUUGAUUAAACCAUAUUUUAAAGAUUCAAAAAAUCUGAAAACAAUACGGGAUGUUAAGAGGGCGAUGUUUUAAACAGUUCCCUCGAGUUAGGGUUUUUUUUUUCUCUCGAGGCGAUCUGAUCGCCAUCGUUGAGAUCGUUCUCUUCCCUACCUCUGUUGUGCCUUCCGGCCCCCUCCCUUCGAGCGGGCGUGCGGUGGCGACCCUGGUCCGGGCGGGACUGGGGUGGGAGGGGUUCUAGGGUUAUCCUCAAGGCCCGGUGUUCCAAUCGGGUUAGGGUUCGAAGUUUUCCAUGGCGUCGGACGGAGCUUCAGGAUCGCGCUCUGCAGGUCCCUCCGAGACGGAUGACAUAACAGCAUUGAUGAAGGAGCUAGGUCUUCGAGAGGAGGACCUUGACGAUGUGGUGUUCGAUGAAGAUGAGGCGCCGCCGGCGGCGGCACGCUGGAUCGCGCUUGUCCGGGUGCACACACCCAAAUCAUACAACCAAUUUUGGUUUUUUAAGAAUAUGAGGGCGACGUGGGAUCUAGCUCAGGAGGUCCAGUUCAAACCGCUUGAAGACAAUCUGUACACAGCCCAGUUCUCAUGUUUGGGCGAUUGGGAGAGAGUAACACGUGAUGGUCCAUGGAACUUUCGGGGAGACUUCGUUAUUCUGAAACCAUAUGACGGAUUGGCAAAACCGUCAACAGUUCAACUUGAUACUAUCGAGAUCUGGCUGCAGAUUCAUGAUGUCCCGCCAUUGUAUGCUCAUCUGGUGCCAUCUCUAGCUCAAAAAGCUGGAGAAGUCUUAUAUGCAGAACCCCAAUCGCAUGACUUUGUGGGGAAUUUCCAUCGGGUUUGGGUCCGGAUUGAUGUCAACAAGCCUUUGAAGAAUGCAGUUUCUAUGAUAAGGGAUGGAAAGCGCCAAAUUUACAGGGUUAAAUAUGAGAAGCUUCCAGACUGGUGUGCGGUCUGUGGUAAGCUGGGCCACCUUUUCAAAGAACAUGGCAGUGGAAUCCACCCUCCCACGGCACUGGUUUUCAAAGACCUUCGAGCCUCCUGGUCUAUGCGCACUGGACAGGGUCCCGGUGGGGGCCGUGGCCGGAGGGGAGGCCGAAGAGGAGGCAGGGGAGCUCGGGGAAACGGUAACUCUUCUCAUGAAGAUGUGGCCAGUGAAAGGAAGGAGAAUUAUACCUCAAAAGUUGAUACAGAUAUGACGGAGGCGGACUAUGCCAGGAAGAGGACGCAGAUGCAACAUGUGCGCAAUCAAGUCAUAAUGCGCCUGUUACAGGAGGCCAGGGGGCGACCCUUGUGCUGCCAUCUCCCCCCACUGAUCCUUUGAGUCCGAGCAGCAGACAAGACCUAAGAGGGCUAAAACAGAUGUAGUAGCUGAUGAUUUGCAGAAGAGUGGCGAUCUUGGCAAGAUUGUCUCAUCGUUGGCGGGCUCCUUCGAGGAGCGCCGCCGGGCCCAAUGAAUUUAUUUUGCUGGAACUGUCAUGGUGCGGGUAAAGCUGCGACAGUCCGUGAACUUUGCGAUUUCGCGAGGCAAUUUACCCCUACCCUGCCGUGCGUCGUUGAAACUCAAAUUGAGGGUGCUAGGGUAGAAGCUUUGGCUGGAACAUUGGGUUUUGAUAACUCUUAUGCUGUAAGUAGUCAAGGAAGGAGUGAUGGAAUAGGCUUGUUUUGGAAUAAUUCAAUAAAGGUUCAAAUUCUUGGUUACUCUGUUUAUCAUCUCGAUGUGUCUGUUGACGAACAAGAUGCAGAGAAGUGGAGGAUGAUGUGCGUCUAUGGUGAGGCACAAACACAUAUGAGGCAUCACACCUGGACAACCUUGAAAAAUAUUAGCACUCUGAGCGAUCUUCCAUGGCUUUGCUUAGGUGAUUUUAAUGAGGUUUUACGUCCAGAUGAACAUCAAGGAGUUGGUCAGCGUAGCAACGCUCAGAUCCAAGCCUUCAGAGAAGUUCUUGAUGUUUGCAUGUUGCUUGAUUUGGGAUACAAAGGCAAUUUUUGGACAUUUGAGAAGAAGGUAACAGGUGGGAGCUAUACGAGGUGUAGACUUGACAGAGCUCUCGCUAACGCGUCAUGGCUGGCCAAGUUCCCGCUGGCUGCAGUCACACACUUGAUGGGGGUAACUUCAGAUCGUGCGCCCCUAUUGCUAGAGCUGGAUGCUGGUACGCAUGAGCAGGUACAAAGACCGUUCAGGUAUGAGCUAAUGUGGGAGUCGCACGAAAACUUCCAAGACACUAUAAUUUCUGGAUGGGGGGCCGGACCCCCAUGCACUUCCGUGGCAGAGCUAGGCCAGAAGAUGAAGGAUCUUGCGAAUGAUUUACAGAGGUGGAGCCGGGAUACUUUUGGUAGUGUAAGGAAAGAGAUAAAAAAACUCAAACUCAUGCUUGAGGAACUUAAGAACGACCCGGCAAGAACUGGUCCUUCCCAUGUUGAGCUCAAAAUCAAUGAAAAGCUGAUAGAGAUGUACUACUGGGAGGAGAUUAUGUGGAGGCAGAGAGCGAGGGUUGAAUGGUUGUCGGCAGGGGACAAAAACACGAAGUUUUUUCACCUUCGAGCUAGUCUUCGCCGCAAGAAGAAUAUGAUCAAAGCACUUCAAAACUCGCUAGGAGUAGAUCUCCGACCCAGCAGAGUUAAAGGUUUUGGCUAAUGAUUUUUAUAAAUCCUUAUAUCUAUCUGAAGGGGUCCAAAACAUAGAUGCGGUGCUCAACCAUGUCCCGAGUAAGGUGACAGCCGAGAUGAACUCCAACCUGUGUGCCCCGUACACCAAAGAGGAGGUGAAGAUCGCUCUAUUUCAGAUGUUUCCGACCAAAGCUCCGGGUCCAGACGGUUUUCCUGCUCAUUUUUACCAAAAGCACUGGGAGAUUUGUGGGGAUGAAGUGACAAAUAUAGUGAUCAGAAUAGUGAAUGGCGAGGAGAGCCCGACAGCUAUCAACGACACUGUUCUGGUUUUGAUCCCAAAGGUAACGAAUCCCACGGUACUUGCUCAAUUUCGGCCUAUAAGUCUUUGCAAUGUUCUGUAUAAAAUUGCCUCCAAAGUUAUAGCAAACAGGUUGAAAAUUAUAUUGCCUGACAUAAUUUCUGAGGAACAGUCUGCAUUUGUGCCUGGGAGGUUAAUUACGGAUAAUAUCAUAUGUGCUUAUGAGUGCUUACACUUCAUGAAAAGAUCGAGAGCAAAAUCAAACAGUUAUUCUGCUUUGAAGCUAGAUAUGAUGAAGGCAUACAACAGGUUGGAAUGGGCCUAUCUUCGAGGAAUUAUGACUAAAUUGGGAUUUGAUCAUCACUGGAUAGAUGUGGUCAUGGGCAUGGUCUCUUCAGUUUCAUUCUCUGUUUGUUUCAAUGGCGAGAAGCUUGACUCCUUUUUACCAACACGCGGUAUCCGGCAGGGAGACCCAAUCUCCCCCUACUUGUUCUUGAUUGCGGCAGAGGGCCUUUCGUGCCUCCUUAAAUCAAGUUCUCAGUCGUCUCUGACAGGUAUCCAGGUGGCACCCACGGCUCCUACCGUUAACCACCUCUUGUUUGCAGAUGAUAGCCUUCUGUUAUUUAAGGCGAGUGGGGAGAGUUCAACUACGGUGUCAAACCUACUUGAUACAUAUUGCAAUGCUUCGGGGCAGCGGAUCAACAAUGAGAAAUCCUCAAUCUUUUUCAGUAAGGGUUGCCCGGUGCAGAUGAGGGAAAUUGUCAGGAACAAUCUGCAAGUACACAAUGAGUCUUUGAGUGAGCGCUACCUGGGCAUGCCGACAGACGUUGGCCACUCGAAGAAUGGUACGUUGAAAUAUCUCCGGGACCGUGUGUGGGAGAAAAUCAAAGGGUGGAUGGAGAAAUUAUUAUCAGCUGCUGGCAAAGAAGUUUUGAUCAAAUCUUUUGCACAAGCUAUACCGGUCUACUCUAUGUCUUGCUCCAGACUACCACGAGGUUUAUGUGAGAGCAUAAUGUCACUUAUAUGACAGUUUUGGUGGGCCUCCAAGCAUGGUAAGAGAAAGCCGAGCUGGGUAGCAUGGGAUAUAAUGACUCUACCAAAGCACUUGGGAGGCCUGGGAUUUCGUGACAUGAUUUUUAACCUUGCACUUCUGGCAAGGCAAGCAUGGCGUACCCUUACAGAUAGCACUUCGCUGAGUGCGCGUAUUCUCAAGGUAGUAUACUUCCCACACUGUUCUCUCCUCGAAGCCGAACUUGGGCCGCAUCCAUCCCAGAUUUGGCGGGCGAUAUUGGAUGGCCGUGACAUUCUGGCACAAGGUGUCAUUAGGCGCAUUGGAGAUGGAGAGACAACGGAUAUUUGGAGGCAUAACUGGAUCCCACGCGACGGCAUCAAGAGACCCAUCAUUUCGCUUGUCCAUAACCCACCUGAGAAGGUGGUGCAGCUCAUAGAUGCAACAUCGGCAACAUGGAAUGAAAACUUGGUACGCUCACUGUUCACUCACUUUGAUGCAGAAGAGAUCCUACGGAUUCCUUUAUGCACACGUCGUGUGGGGGAUUUUUGGGGCUGGCAUGAGGAGCCUCGAGGAACGUUUAGUGUUCGCUCAGCUUACGGAAUGAUACUAAGGACGAAACAUAGCAGGGAGGCUUGGUUAUAUGAGGAGGACGGUACAUCCUACGAGCAUCAAUAGACGAAGAAGUGGUCCAUGAUCUAGCACAUGCAAGUUCCAUCAAAACUCAAGGUGUUCGUGUGGCGACUGGUUCGUCAAUCCAUGCCAACGGGUUCGCUCCUUAAGCAUCGUCACAUGGCAACAGAGGAUACUUGCUUGAUAUGUGGGGCUGUUGACACUUGGAAACAUGCUCUUAUUUCAUGUCCGAUGGCGGUGAGUGUGUGGGCAUUGGCCCCGGAGGAGUUGGUGCAGCAUAUGGUCGACCGUGCGGAAGUAUGCCCGAAGGAGUGGCUGUUUUCUAUGCAUGAAAUAUUGACGAAACAACUCUUUGUCCGACUAGUGGUGACACUUUGGGCAAUUUGGGCCGCCAGGAGGAAGGCAAUUCACGAGCAUAUAUUUCAGCCACCUUAUUCUGUUGACAGUUUCAUAUCUAAAUAUAUAGGUGAGGUCCAAGUGAUUAAUUCAAGGUCUCCAUCGACGGUCACUCCAACCAGUGCCAGGCCGAGGCGACGGGUAGCCCCGCCCAAAGGGGAUGCCAAGUUCAAUGUUGACGCAGCAGUGACCAGGUAUGGUGGAGCAGUUGGGGUCAUUUGCAGAGAUGACAGAGGUAUGUUCAUGGGAGCGUCGACUCUCUCUUUUAAAUACAUUGUGGAUCCCCCGACGUUGGAAGCUCUCGCCAUCAGCGAAGCGCUCGCUUUGGCGGAUGAUCUCUAUUUGAGGCGCAUACAAGUCGCAUCGGAUUGCAAAACGGUGGUGCAGGAUUUAAACAAAGAGAAUUUAGCGAGCUAUGGUGCAGUUAUUAAUGAGAUAGUUGAACAUUCUUUAGCUUUUGAUUUUUGUAAUUUCAGUCAUGAGUUUAGGAGCUCAAAUUUUGAAGCUCAGAACUUAGCGAAGCAUGCUUUAUCUCUCGAUGGUGGCCGCCAUGUUUGGUUAGGACACCCCGGGAAUUACCACCCAUCCCUGUAAACAUUGUGAUGAAUCAAUAAAAGCUUCGCGACAUUGUCUCAAAAAAAAAAGAGGGCGAUGUUUUAUUGCCAUGCAAAAUUUCAAGUUGAAACACAUUGCAAGAUGUGAGCUAUGAAAAUGAUAAAUUCAGUCCUGAAUAGUGACAAUACUGUUCGACACUAUUCAAUGCUGAUUUUGUCAUUUUCAUAGCUCACAUCUCGUAAUGUGUUUCAAUUUGAAAUUUUUUGUGGCAAUAAAACAUUAUCCUCUUAACAUCCUAUAUAUUUUCUUAGAUUUUUACAAAACUUCAAAACAUCUUUUUCUUGGGGUUUUCACCGGUUUUCACUGAAUGUUGGUUUCUGUAUGAUAUUCUCCACGUCGAUUCCAUCAAGCGCCAACCCACACGCACGCGCAAGCGACGAACCCAAGUGCAGCGACGACGGCUGGUCAGGUCGCGAUCCAGGUGGGCGGUUGGCGACAGGAUAGGCUAUGGCGGC
This 55274-nucleotide long non-coding RNA is filed under the name Triticum aestivum (bread wheat). RNAcentral describes it as "long non-coding RNA (TAES_LNC018635)". Lineage: Eukaryota; Viridiplantae; Streptophyta; Magnoliopsida; Poales; Poaceae. The record is from RNAcentral.